GCAACUAUACAAAAUCUUCUCCUUUUUGCUAGUCUUUUAGCAUCAAUGGCAAUUCGAUUACAUGGUAUUCCACAUAUUAAGCGAAGUCUUCGAUCGAACAAAGAAACUUCUAUGGUAUGUUUUGAGAAAAAAAAAAGUUUAAAUUCAAACAAGUUUUCUCUUUACAUGCUAUAAGAUAUCAUCUAAAAUAUAGUAUUACUUCUCCCCAUAUCAUAAUACCCUAAAUCCUAAUGAUUAAGCUCAAACAUCUUUGUGCUACUCCUCACCAAUCCUCUAUUUAACCCACAAUCUCCUUUCUUUUUCACCAAAAUCUUUGUACACAGAAUAUGCUUAUGCAUGAAUUUUUAUAUAAAAAAAAAUAAAAUAAACAUUGAUGGAUCUAGGGGAGGCAGUCCCCUCCCCACUGUUCCACCCUUCUUUGUCCAAUAGAAUUGGUUUAGUGGAAAACCAUAUUUUAUAAUCUUCAUCUCACAAGGACCAUUUAGUAGAAAUGGCUUGUCGGUUGUAGAAUCGAGAUAACAAGUGAGAUAUAUCUGAUGUACUCUAAUUGUUCGCUAAAUAAAUAUUAAAUUUAAAUAAAUUUUUUCUUUACAUGCCAUCAAAUAAAAUCUUUCAUAAGGUACUUAUCGUCUAAAAUAAUCUAGAUAACAAGUGAGAUAUAACUGAUAUAUUUUAAUUGUUUUCGCUAAAUAAAUAUUAAAUUCAAAUAAAUUUUCUCAAAUAAAAUCUUUUGUAAGAUACAUAUCAUCUAAAAUAUAGAAACACUAUAUGCAUGUCUUUUUAUCAAAAAACAUAAGCAUUGGUGGAUCUAGAGGGGCAACCCCCUCUCUCUUGCUCUUCCUCCUCCCUUGUUCAAUAGAACUAGUUUAGUGCAAAACCAUAUUUUAUAAUCUUUAUCUCAACAUGACCCAAUUAUAUUGCUUACUAGCAAUUCUGGCCAAAGGGUCGGCUUUUCGAAUGUAGAAUCGAGAUAUAACUGAUGUACUUUAAUUGUUCACUAAUAAUAACAUAAAGAAAAUGUUUUGUUAAAAAAAAAAACAAAAAAAAAACAAACAAAUUUUCUCUUUACUCCAUCAAAUAAAUUAAAGAGAACUAUGUGCUCAAUUGUUUGAUUCAUUUUGACAUGAGAAGAGUAAUAGUGUGACUAAUGAUCUAGUGAAGAAAAAAAAAAGGAGUUUUGAUUGAAGUUGGAGAGAAUGAGAUUUGGAAAUAGAAAAGGAAGAAGAUAGAUGUAGCAGUAAACACAUGUUAUUGUUGUAUCGAAAUCUCUUUCUUUCUUAUUUUAUUUCACACAUAAGGAUAAUACUAAUAUAUAGUUCAAAAUGUUAUCAGAUUUCGUUAAUAUUUGGUGAACAUAUGGAUAUUAGAAUAUGUAAUAUAUACCAUCACUUAGAUCGGAUAUACUCGUAUUUAGAUUUCGUAAUCAUCUUAAGAUCACAUAACCUUAGAUCUCCAAUAAAUUGUUCAAGAAAAUUUCACUAAUAUCGAAUCUUAAAUCACGAAUCAUGACGAUCACUAAGGUUUCCAAGAGUGAAGCUGAAGGUUCUACAUACAAAUGCAUCCCUUGCUCACUUCGUUUUGACCUCAUGUCGGAGCAAACACACCAUCGCACCAAUGUGUGCAAAAACAAUAGCAAGUCUUGCGAAAGAUGUAAGAAUCUAAAACAAGAAAAAUGGAAGACUAAGAGCACCAAAGGAGGAUCACAAAUAACCCAAGCCAAAAUUCAAGAAAGACUGAUGUUUUGUUACUAGAUGAGUUUGGGGUAAUGGUUUCAUGAGACUCAAUACUUAUAUAGUUUGAUGUUUUUUGUUUUUAUUUUUAUUUUAAAAAGAAAAGAAUUUAGUAACGAAAUGAUGGCAUAAUCUGUUUUUAUAGAGUUCAGAACUUUAAAUAUUCGCUCAUAUUUAGUAGUAGUGUGUUAGUAAUUUUAAUUUAUCAAUAUGUUGGUACCAUUCAAGUUUUAAGUUAUUCAUUAUACUCAUUUGCCGAUAAAAAUUAUAAAUUAGACUAACUUAUUUAACUUGUGAAAUAAUUAUGGUUGUUGUUAUUGCCAAGAAUGUUUUUUAUAUUGUAAAGAGUUUGACCUUUGGCAAUAUAAAUAAAGGUAGGUUGCUGCUAUUGCCAAGAGUCAGACCCUUUGUAGUAAAAGGCCAUUGGCAAUAGCAGGAGCCAUAACUAUUUCAGAAACAAAUUUGUGUAGUUUGUUUUAAUAUUUUAUAGAAGUUAAUCGUUAAAAAUUAUAAAUUCUUAUAAUAUUUUGUUAAUUUGAUUAUUUUUUUUUAAUUAUUGGGUUUCUUGCUCAUAAAUAAAAGGGUAAUUUCCCGAAUAAGCACAUGUUUAUAACGUUUCUUCCCAAAUCAGCACAUUUGACUGCAAUCUUCCCCAACAAGCACAAUUCUCGGUUUGACUUUUCAAUUGGACAUUUCUACCCUUAUGACAGCUUUAAGCCGUCACAUCAUAUCUGCUGUUUGUCUGAUUUUUCUCUCUCCUCAUUCAAUUCAGCAAACUAAACUCUCGCCGUUAGAUGAAAAAGCAUCUUUGAUUACCACCGUUGGAUGAAAUAACACAGAAACCAGCAUUCUCAAUCCUCCACAACACACUACUCUAUCCUCCACCCAGAAAAGACAAAAACAACUGUCUUACCUUAAAAGAGAAGUUAACCAAAACUACUUUCUCUGUUCUUCUUCUUCUUCACCUUCUUUGUUCAUCGCAGAGAAUGAACAAGAAGAUAACCUCUUUUCAUCAGAUCACAAUCUCUUUGUCGUAAAGCUUCGAUUUUUUUUUUGACGUUGGGGUUUUCAUCGGUAAUAUGUUCAUCAUGGGAAAAAAAGGAAACAAUAAGGGCAAGCAAGUUAUGAACGUUCAGAUUCCUGGUAAGUUUUGAGGUUUGAAGGUUGUUCAUUUAUAAUGGUAAUGGGGGGUUUGAUUUCAGUGGCAUCAAUACCAAUCAUUGGUAUUAAAGUUGUCUGUUUUAGGUUUCAAUCUCAGUGGCAUUAAAGUAUUUACUCACACACACACACCCACCAGCUUAAAUGCAAGCAUUCAAUUGUGGGUGGGGUUUCAACUCUAGUUGAUGUUUGGGUUGGGGGUAUGAAAACCAUAGAAUUUGGUUUAUGGGUUUCUAACAUGUUGUUGUCAAGCUUUAAAUCACUAGUGUCUACCGUGUAUGGCUCUUUGUCUCUGUUUUUAUGGGGGGUUUUGAAGUUUUUUAUCUAAUGAUUAGAAGAUCUAAAAGUGGGUUUAUCAUGUGGUACUGAUUAUCACUUUGACAUACAUUCUUAAAUUUAUAGACGAUAAACUGUCAUCUGUAACCGUUAAAACUGAUAUUGUAGCCGAAACCUUCAGUACACUCGUUUAUAGAGAUGUGAUAUUAAACCCAUUUUAAUUGAUGUUAUGCAGAGAGCACAUUUAAUAUCAUAUUCCAACAUGGUGGGCAAUUGGUUGUUACAGUUGAAGAAGUUGAGAUUGCAUAUGUACAUGGUGAGUCAAAAAUAAGGAUCGCUAAUAACAAGACAUCCUACGGAGACUUCUUGGAAUUGGUUGAAUCCUUAUGUAAGGCACCAAGAACAACUUGGUCAUUGCGAGCUGUAAUCAACAAUAAUCCAACUAAGGUUGAAUGCGAAGAUCAUUACAUGGCAAUGAUUAGAUACAUUACAAAUUCAGCUGUAAUGGUGAUUUCUAUUUGGGUGGUUGAUCAUUUAACACCAGUUAUGAUACAGUCAGAGACUAAUGAAUCCUCAAGCCAAGUGAGUGAGAUACCAAGAGAGCUGCCCAAGGGGGAUUCCAAAACUAGUCAAUCUUUGAAGAGAAAACUUUUCCCUGAACCUGUUGUCAAUAAUCUAGGCUUGGGUAGGAAACCAGACUACUCUUCUUUUUGUACACCAACAAAACCUUUCCAUGUUCCUGAUGAAUAUAGAUUGGAAACUCCUUCUCAAGACCCAGAAGUGACUGUAAAGGGAAAGGGGCACUCAAAUGACCCUUUAUUCUUGGAAACCCCUCCCCCUAAUGUUCAAGUGAGAGAUGAUGUUUACAUUCCUCAACCUCCAAUGAACUUGACUCCCUUAUCGGCUAGAACAGCAACUGGAUCGCCUAUAUGUGUACCAAAAUUGGCUAGAUUUGAUAAUCUUGAAGACAUAGUAGGGAUUCUAUCUGAUAUGCGUAGGGAUAAUGGUUUUGGGGAUUCAGAUGAAUUGGAAAGUGUAGAAGAAAGAUUAGAUCCAGAGAUAGAGAGAAGCCAAGAAGAAGUACUGGAUGAUGACAGUGAGGGUGAAUGUGAGGAAGGCCAAUGGGAUACAGAAGAGGAUGUGUUCGACUCAAAUAGUGAUUACUCUUAUAAUUCAUUCGAUAGACUUGAAGAUGAGUUUGAAUCUGAGAUGUAUACUGACAGCCAGCCAAUGUUUGGUCCUACACCACCUCCUCCAUCUCAUAAUGAAGAUGAUGGUGUCAUCCAAUCUUCAUCUGAAGGCAUUGGUGAGAUGAAAACACCAAUUCUUGACACCCAAGAUCAAGAUUUUGAGAACGAAAUGUACAAUGACAGCUACCCAAUGUUCGGUGAUCUAUCGACACAAGAAACCGUGCAUAGCGAAGAUGUGGUAACGGAUAGAAAUGCUAAUGCAGGGGAUAUACGGUGCAAUCUAGAGGAUCGUUUCGCUCGAGUAGGGGAUUACGUCAACAAUCAACCACAACAUAACACUGCGCCGCUACAAGACAACCCUCCAACUCCUACCACUGUGCCACUUCAAGACAACCCUCCAGCUCCGACCACUGUACCUCCUGAUACAGAUGUACCAUUUCCCAACAAUGUGCCACUCCAGAAGAAUGUAAGAGUUACGGAAAACCGCGAUAACGAUGAAGUGAAACGUGAAUUAGACAAAAUCUUUUCUGCGUACAUUGCAAAAUCUAGGGUAAAUGUUGGUUGUGCUCCCCAUACAGAGCCUUCUCACAAUGAUUAUGUUAGACCUGCAUGUGGAAUAGUAUAUUUAAGUCAAGAUGAUCUUGAAAGGGACCUCCAAACCUACGCGAUUAAGACUGAAAAAGAUAUACGCAGGCAAAGCACCAACACAAAAAGGUUGAUUUGGAAAUGUAAAGCAGAUGGUUGUCCAUGGAGAGUCUACGCAACACGAAAUAUGGAUAACACUUGGAAGAUUUGUAGAAUGAAUGAUGACCACUCUUGUGGUAAUUUUAGAGUUGGAGGAACAAAUCCCCAAGCAAAUAGUGAUUGGGUUUCUAGAGUAUUAAUGAGAAAGUUAAGGGAUAACCCAAACUUAAAGCCUAAAGCACUUGUAAAGAUGGUCAAGGAAGACUAUGAGACCACAGUUUCAUACAAAGUUGCAUGGUUUGCUAAAGAGAAAACACUGAUGAAGGUAUAGCAUCUUCUACUUUGUUUCUGUAGUCGCUACCAUAGGCACUAGUAUCGGCUAGAUUGUUUUCUGUGUAGAGUAUAGUUUUUCACAUCUAUUCUUUGUUGCAGAUAAGAGGAAGCUACAGCUACUCAUAUCAGUUGCUUGAGACAUAUAGUCAUGAGCUCAUGAGUGUUGAUCCAGAUGCUGUGACUGAUAUUCUAACUGGACCAGGUGAUCGUUUUGAAUGUUUCUUUUGGACAUAUGGUAUAUCAGUUAGGGUCUACAAGAAGAACUUGCGUCCUGUAGUCAUUGUUGAUGGAACUUUCCUUAAAGGGAGGUACCCUGGAACAAUUCUAAGUGCUAUUGCAGUCGAUGGCAACAACCAUGUGUUCCCCCUCGCUUUCGCAGUUGUAAUGAAAGAGAAAAAUGAUUCUUGGGAUUGGUUUUUUACCAAACUAAGGGACCAUGUGGUUGGUGUAGAUCACCAGUUCAUUUUGUUAUCUGAUAGACACAAAAGCAUCAUCCAAGGUGUUCCUAAAAUUCUGCCAAAUGCUGUCCAUAUGUAUUGUUCCUAUCACAUGAGUGGCAAGUUUGGUCACAAGAAAAUCAAGUUCUUGGUGCAAGAAUCAGCAAAAACCCUCAACCAACAAGAAUUUUGGGGAAAUAUGCUAGGAAUAUGGGUCCUAUCCUCCAAAGCACAUGAAAAACUUAUGGAUGUUGGGCCUUUAGAAAAGUGGGCAAGUGCUUUUCAAGAGAAAUCCAGGUAAGUUUGCUAACAUAUUUCUGUGUACGCUACAAUACAACUCCUAUCCGGUACUAUAAGGUUUCUAUCCUUUACAUUGAUUUUGCAGAUAUGGAAUUGUGACAACAAAUCAUGUGGAGAGCUGGAACAAAAUGAUCAUUGGAGAAAGAAUGAUGCCAAUUACUACCAUUGUUUCAAUGAUACGAGAUAAUGUAAUUAGGCAUUAUCGAGAUUAUCGCAAUGAUUCUUUGAAGUUCAAUUCACCUGUCACAACAUGGUGUCAAGAGCAAAUAGUGCACAAUGCCGCAGUUGCAAGAAAGUGCACACUUGAAAGAGCUUCAGCAGGUAUUUGGUCUGUUAGAGGGCUUAAAAGGUCAUGUGUGGUUGACCUCAACAAAAGAUCAUGUACAUGCAAAUGGUUUCAAACCAUGGGGAUACCAUGUGAGCAUGCCAUGGCAGCUAUAAAGGAAGUUGGAUUUGAUCCAUACAAAUUUGUUGAGGUGUACUACUUGAAGGAAACAUACAUAGAAACUUAUAGAGAAGAAUGGACACCCACAAGAGGGAAGGAAGAAUGGCCAACCGACAGACAAAGAAGAAGAAUUCUUCCACCACUAAAAACUUCAAAGGCAGGGCGUCCUAAAACAGCCAGGAAGAGAGGUAAAGCUGAGGGUGUCCCUGUCCAGAGUAGGCGAUGUUCAAUGUGUAGAGUCAGAGGUCAUAACAAAUCAACUUGUCUUGAAUGUAUAGAUGACUAUCAACUCUUCAGUCACACCCUAUUUGGUGAAGGGCCACCACUUAGCCCUGUUCCAGCUACAAUCUAAGUACUGAAAUGGGUUUUGUACUUUUUUGGGAAUGUAUCUUCCACAUACAUGUUUAGAUCCUCUACAUAUUGCCUGUUAUCCGUUGACUUUAUUUUGUAUUGAUUUUCAUGUUAUAUAAGGGUAUGGGCUUCAAAUCCAACCUAUUUUUGACAGGAAAACACUAUUGUUAUCGUAUGUUUUAUCAGUGACACUUGAGUGUUACCUUAUUUGGUUGUUAGGUUUUUGCAUAGAUUGUCUACUGUGCAUUGCAGUGUUGUCCUCUAAGUUUGUACUACCUAACGGCUACCAUAUAUUUGUGUAGCCUCUACAAUUCAAACAUAAAGAACAGGAACAAUAUAGGUUCACCUAUAAACCAAAUAAGAACAGAAUGUAUCAUUCACAACCAUGAACAUAGAUUCAUAAACAACCACAUAAAAAACAUUGGGUUCAUAAACAACCAUAUAAACAUGUCUUCAAACAACCAAAUAAAAUGUAUAGCAUACAAUACAAACAACAAAUAACUAAAUUUUGCUCUUGUUUUUGGAGGAGGGAGGUUCCCCUAUAUCAAUUAGGUCUCUGGCAAUACGAUAGCGCAUCUGAAGAGGAUCUGCAUCGAACUGAGGUGGUAUUCCUCGAAGCACGCAUUCGACGAAGGCAAGGAGGAAUAAUCCACAGCUACAACCAUCUGGUUGUUCAGCACACUUAACAUACUCACGCUUCCACUUCAUAUCCAAUUUGAGUUGAACCUGUGAUGGAUCAGCAGCAAAAACAACAUAUGGCAAAAACUUUUCCAUAUUUCUCAAUUCAGGUAUACCCCUUGUCAUUCCCAAUGAAUCAUAGAUUCUAACAAUUUUCUCACUAAAAUUGAAAGAAAGCAGAAUCCAGUGGUUAUCAUUCACCUACAAAUAACACAUAUAUACAUAUCAAUAGUGGCAAAUAGAAAUAAUAAAAUAGAGGAUAAAUUAUGACAUGUAGAGGUAGUGGAGGAAAGUAUGAAAUAUACCUGUAAUGGGAUGAGAAGUGCCUUUGCUUUCACAGGGUGAACUUCAUUUUUGAGACCUACCCAGGGAUCAACAAUUGAAGUACAACCUGAUGAAAUUUGGAAACGCCCAGAUGUCACUCUUUCCUGAGGAUUCAUUUUGGCAAAACUCUUAUCUUUCAUCAGUUUGUCGUAUUCAGGCAUCACAUCACACUUGAUUUUGGUCUACAAAAAGGAAAAAUAAUUCUUCAAACAGCUCAGAAUUGAAGGUUAUAAUUACUAGGUAGAAUAAGGGAACAAGGUACUUACAUGUAGAUAUACUGUUGAAACAAUAGCAUAUUGAUCUUCAUCCCUAAAGUAAUAUGGCCUCAUGGUACCAUACCAACGAAUGAGCAGCCUGAGAUAGAUGUCAAUAAUCUCAUCAUUAAGCCAAUUACCUUUGUAGAGUGUGUUGUAGGCACUCACUGAGCAUGAAGCCAGAAAACCAUAACUUCUCAUGGGGACUCUACUCCACUUUGGGUCAGAAGCCAAACUCCAAAAGUAGUGACAAAGUUUUGUAUCAUCCUCUUCCACUUGUCUACUGAAGAAUGGUUCUUUCAUUAUCUCUGACAUCCUUGCAUUACACCUAAGGCCCAAAGAAAGUUCACCAACCUCCAUGUUUUGAUAAGUUUUGGCUUCCCUUUCCCUCUUUGCCACUCUUAAUGCUUGCAGGUCAAAUUUUGUAUCCUUCUCAUCAUCAUCAGAUUCCUCUACACCAAGAAUGAGAACACUCUUCCUGCCUGAUGACUCCUCAAUAUCUGAUGCAGUAGGUGUUUCAAAUCUAUACUGUUGAGGUACAUCUUCUCUAUUAACCACCACAUCAGUAUGAUGAUCACAUCCACCAUUGUCAUCAUCAUCAUCAUUCUUAUCAUCAUUCUUAUCAUCAUCAUUCUUAUCAUCACUCUUCUUAUCAUCAUCCUCCCUACCAUCAUCUUUUUCAUCCUCAUCCUGCUUAUCAUCGUCCUCCUUACCAUCAUCUUCUUUAUCAUCAUCAGAAUCAUCAUCCUGCUUAUCAUCAUCUUCAUCAGAAUCAUCAUCCUGCUUAUCAUCAUCUUCUUCUUCACUAUCAGCAGAUUCAACAGUUGUAGAAGAUGCCCCAAUGAUCAGUUGUAGCCGUCUCGGUUUCAUCUGUUGUUACCUUUGUUGGUGUAGCGGAUGGAUCCUCAUUUCUAGCAGACAAUGUAUCUUCUGUAGGAUCCUCAUUUCUAGCAGACAAUGUAUCUUCUGUAGCGGAUACAGAAGGAUCGCCAUCCUUUGUACUUGAAUCAUUAGGUUUACCUUCUUCAUUCACUUCAGCUUUCUCGCCCAUCAGUACAGAAAGACCUUGGAGUUUUGACAUUGCCUUGGCAAGAGGAUCAGGUACACCUCUCAGGUUAUUCAAUACAUCCACAAUGGACUCCUGGUCAUCUGAUGAAUGAUCAUCACUCCAGAAAGACAACUUUCUUACUUUCUUACUGCUGGGGACUUCAUCAUCAUCUGACUGUAUCUUCCUUGCCUUUUUUUCCUUCAGCUUCUUUGCCUCCCUUCUCUUUCUUAAUUCUUUCCUCCAACUAAGAUCAAAGGCAUCACCUUUAACCUUCCUUUCAGGUUGAUGCCUUCUAAUAGGAAACAACAUCUCUGCUCUCUUCCUUUUUUUCUCUUCUUUCUCUAUCUGUUUCUCUCCAGCCUGUUGGUCAUUUUGUUCUUCAAGAUUAAAAUCAAACACGGGAAAAUGUCGGUCUAAUGGUAACAUGUCAUCAUCACUCCCCCCUACUGUAUUUUUACCCUCUUCUAUCUCAUCAUUCUGUGGAGCUGCCUUAUCUUCAUCCUGCUUCCCCAUAUCCACAAUGGACAUCUUCUUUUUACGUUUCUCCACUUUUUCAGAUUCCCCCUUCUUUGAAUUUUUCUUCUUCUUCUUGUUAUCCUUCUCCCCCUCCUCUGAUCUUUUCCUCUUUAUCCCCUUAUCCCCUUCAGAUUUUGGUGGUUGAGGUUCCCUUCUUUUUACCUCAUAAUUAGAAGACAAAGAGCUUUUACUCCUGGUGGUUCUAACUGCUGUCUGUGCUGGUAUAGGCUCUUCCUCCAUCUUCUUAUAAUCAAUAAUUUUGGGUUGUGGGGAAUCACUCACUGUUGUGGCUUGAGGGGGUUUCUGCUUGGGAGGUAUCUUCACCCUCCCAAUAGGUUUGGGGGGAGCACUAACUUUCUUGGUUGGUACAAUGGGUUUCUUGGGUGAAACAUUGGUUUUCUUGGAUGGAAUUGUUUGUUUCCUUGUUGAAACUGUUGGUGAAACUUGGGAUGCAGUACUUGAUCUGGUUGCCCUUUUUGGAGGACUUGGCAAAGGAUUGGUCUUUUUGACUGAUUUGGGUUUGAGAGUUGGCUUUGAGGGGGAACUUAUUUUCUUCUUACUUUUACUUGUCUUCUUUGAUGCCCCCUUACCAAUCUGUGCAAACACACCUUUGACAGCCACAUCAGCAUCACUGAUUUUGUCAGAAACCAUCCCUGCCUCACGACCCUUCAAAAAUAAUGCAAUAAGAUUGUAGAGGAUAAACCCAAUAUUAUAGAAAACAUCAUUCAAAUAUUUAAAGGAUAUAUUAUGUUAACAUUCAAAUUAUAGAGGUUUCAAGGUUUCAACAUUUCAAGGUUUAAAGUUUUUGUAUAUGACUUCAUUCAAAUUCAACAACAUGUAAAGUUUAAAGAGUAUAUUAUGUUAACAAAUUAUAAAGAGUAUACAGAAACAAGGUAACGGAUAGAACUGUAUAACAUAGAGGAAAAUAAUAUCAAUGUAGACGAUAUACCAAAACAUAUUAAUAAUGAUCAACUAGAGGUUUUAGAAUAUAUGUAUUCAAUGUAAUAAGUAAGAAACCUAUAAAGAAGAUAAGUUAUUCAUGGUUUCAGAUAGAAUUUCAAAGUAGUAGUAACAACAUACCAUUUCAAAGACUCCUUUGAGAAUUGCCUCAAGGGCAUUUCUUUCAAGUGUAAUAAAAUUUCCAGAACUUGUUGUUGCAGAUGAGUGCUGAGAUGGACGAACUAAUCUAGAAACUGGCCUAGAAGAAGCAGACUCUUCAUAUUCUGCUUGUGAAAGAGCCUGAAACUGGAAUUAAAAUGUAACGGAUAAGUAUAUAUCGGUAAAGGAAAAAGAAAACAAAGUAGAGGAUAUUGAAAAUACAACAACAUAAAGAUGACUUACUUCUUCAACCACUUGUAAAUUUGCUGCAGCUCUUUCUUGCAGAGUGAUAUCCAGUGGAUAGGCCACAUUAAUGAAUCCUUUCUUGGGGUGAAAUUUCUCAGAAAGUUUGUCCCUUGAUUUGUUCCUAGUGGGCAAAUCAUACCAUCCUAACAUCCUUGGAAAAGGAGAGUUGGGAAUCUUUCUGGGACCAAGAUCUGGGAGAUGCAAAUAUGCCCAAAUAAUGAAUGCAAACACACAUCCAUUGAUACAAUAGUUUUGUACACCAUCAACAAUUUUGGUAUACACAUCUUCUAAAUUGCUCUCAAGCAAUUUGAAUGCAGCAGUACCCCAUGGAAAAUCAUCAAAAUCGACCAAAUUUUCAGCAAGAUCGACAUACCUUACAUCAAUUGUUUUUGAUGAGUCAGCAAGCAGAAAAAUUGCAAGAAAAUACAACCUGUUCAACCUAUUGACAUCAUCUGGAUGAGCAUCUUCGGCUUCUCUUGCUUCCUUAAUUGCAUCAAGGAUAUGAGAAUCUCUGAUGUGUAGGUUAUUCUGGAAGUAUUUCGAUCUGAAAGCACUAUAUUCAGUUUGCUUCCUAACAACAAAAUCAACAGGUAAAUGCCCAAAUUUCAAAGGCCCCAAAAUCAAAGCAAGAUCUGUCAUUUUGAACUCAAUCACUCUACCCCCAAUUGAAUACUUCAAUCGACCAACCCUAUUUGAAACAAUUUCUGUAACUACUGAAGUGAUCAUGGCGAUUUUUUCUUGUCCCUCCAAACUCAAAAACUGCCCAAAAGGGGAAUUUUUAAAAGAUUCUAACUCAUUGGGGGGCAAUCUUUCGUUUGGGUUUAGAUAGUGGGCUUCAAACUUAGAUGGUGAGCAUCUCACAGUGAUGCUAAAUUUUCUGCUGAAUUCAUCGCCUUCAAUCUUUUUCGGCAUGAUUAUGUAGAAAUUAGAAUGGAAGAUGGAAAAUUAGAAGAUGAUUGUGUAGAAAUUAGAAGAUGAUUGUGUAGAAAUGGAAGAUGGGAAAGAAAUUAGAAGAGUUAUGAGCAGUUUAAUGGAAGAAGAAUCGGUUUAAGAAGAAGAGAGAGUGGGUGGUUGUGGAUUCUGAAUCGGUGUGAAAACCCUAGGUUAAGUAUCACUCUACCUGUUCCCGCUCGAUUUCCCGCUCGAUUUUCCCGCCCAAUUAAAACCCAACGGUUAAUGACACGUGGCGCUGAGUGGCUGUUGUUUACUGUAGCAGAUGCUUGUUUAAAAUUACAAAUUGUAGAGGAAAUAACAUCACUUGUGGAGGAUAGGAAUUAGCAAAUUAUAUCCAACGGCUGUAACUUAUUAUCAUGAUCCAAUGGUUGUAAUCUACUGUCAUGUCAUUCUCUCAGAUGUCACAUCUACUGAAAACCUAUUGAAAACCUAUUAAAACAAAUGAUUAUAGGCUAAAGGGUAUAAUAGGAAACAAAAUAUGCUAAAAGACAAAAAUUCAGCAAGUCAAACCGAGAAUUGUGCUUGUUGGGGAAGAUUGCAGUCAAAUGUGCUGAUUUGGGAAGAAACGUUAUAAACCUGUGCUUAUUCGGGAAAUUACCCUAAAUGAAAAUCCAGCUCUUAAAUAAUAAUAUGUUAAAUUACAAUAAAAAUUUUGUUUAAAAAAUAUUAUGUAAAUUUACCAAAAAAAAAACAUGACUAAAAAGGUAUAUCAGAUUUGUGUUACAAAAUUCUAAAACUCAAUUCUUAUCGAUUGGGAAAUACCCCUGAAUUUUAUUCAGCUUUAUAAUAGUGGUAUAGAUUUGAAUUAUGAUGAUGUGCACAUAAAAAAAAUCAUUAAAAAUAGGUUAAUAAUUUAUGAAUGUUUGACACUGAGUUCAAACAAUAUUAUAAUGAUUAAAUUUUUUUUAAUGAUUUUUAAUAUUAAAGAUAAAACCAAUGUUUUCCAUCUUAGACGUUUGGAAGUUUUCUGCUUAUGUAUAUCCUCACUAUAGAUGUACCCAUAGCAGUAAUCUGUCACUUUAAAUCCAAGUUAACAAAUUCUGUAAGUCUAACUGACCCUCUGACAUUUCAUUUCUUAUCCCUGUAUUUCUUGCAGCAUUGUGGCUAUAGGAUUACUUGGUAUUCCUCAUAUUAAGAGAAGUUCUAGUAGGUUUCGGUAGACCUCCAGUACUGUGCAGAAAGGCAGUAUACUCAAUGGGAGGGCUAACGAUCCCAUGUGACGAAGAUUCCUUCAUCGAACUAACUGGUCAGUUGAUUGUAUCAUAAGUCAGAUAAUGGGAAGAUGUUGUAACGACAUGGUUCCAUGGAGGCUGGUCCCUUCAAGCUAAACCAUCCAAUUUUGUGAGAUGCUAGUUAGAGUCGUCAAUCAUUUACAUACUUUUUGUAUAAGAGAUAUGGGAGGCGGAAAAUACAAAUGUCUCCCUUUUACAACAUCAAUGAAUAAUUUAUACAGGGUUCUCUCCCUUUGAUAUUUAUUGAGUUUUUUUGCCCAUUUUUUCAGAAACUUGCAUGAAAUGACCUCUUUUUAUUGAUUCAUUUUGGCAAGUAUUACUUGGUUAGAUGUGAUGUGUACAUUUAUUUUGAAAGUUGGUAAGAUAACAGAUGCAUUGAGCCAUAGUGAUAGUGUUAUGUCACAUUGCAAAAAUCUUUAAAUCCUGGAUACUUGGUGAUGUGUGUUAUUUAGGUAGUACAUAUUCUUGCAUGUUUCUAUGCGAAAAAGCCUAGAUACGGCCCCCUUCGUGACUUCUAAGAUGGUGGAGAUAACCAAUGUGUUCCAUAUCACCACUACAAGACAUUUAGAAGUUUUCUGGUUAUAUAUCCUCACUAUAAAUGUACUGCACAGACAUAGCAAGUCAGUUGCUGAGCACAGAUUGCAACAAUAUGGUCUUAGAUAUUAGAAUUCUUAUGUAAAUGUAUCUUUAUAGUACGUAGACAUGGAAGCAUACAAAUAUGGUUCCAAAUGUUUCACCCUUUCACAAAAUCACUGAAUAGAACUUCAUUUUCCAAAUGUUUCACCCUUUCCAAAAAAAAAAAGUAGUACAAGAGUUUCAGAAAUGUUUGGAGUGAUUGAGAAGUUCACCCAAGACAUUCACAACUCUAAACAAGUACAAAUAGUGAAAAACAGUACAGAGACAAGAAUUGAAUACUCUGGUAGAACUUUAGCUGUAAGUGUUCUGUUAAUAGAAGAAGCAUAUAUAACUACACUGAAGUAAACUUAUUAGUUGACGCUAUAGCUGAUUCCAGUUUGGAAGUAUGUAUCUUUUGUUGAUGAUGUUUUUCUCCACUGUAAACUGGCUUUUCAGAACAUUUGUGGCAACAGGAGUGAACAUUUGUUGCAACAAUUCCUGAUCAAAAUCAUCAGCUAUAGGCCAACAUGUUUAAAGGAAAUUUAACCCGGCACUGCACCUUCACCUUUAACUCUUUCUCCAUUUCUUGCACAUGGCACUCAUCGGUGUAAGGCUUUGGAGUGCUUUUGUGGAGAGACUGGCCAGUGUGGCUAUCUUUUACAUCGAGCAUAUUGUUUCUGGUUGUGUAUUUUUUACUUGUAUGAAAGGCAAUUGUUCGGUCGUUGCCACUGUAUAUUGUUUAUACAGUGCAUCCAUACAACAAUAUACAUUUUCAGCAGUUCUUAUAUAUUGUUGUGUAUAUUCCCCAGACAAGCUUACUCGUCUUUUCAGUAAUUGUAAAUCCAGCUAAGUCAUGCAGUCAUGAUAAGCAUCGAGUCAGUUGUACACUAGUGUAUUUCCCGAAGAACUCUUCUUUACAUCUACAUUGUCAACAUGGUAUCCUUGAUAUGGGCGUUGGGUGUCUUGUAGAAGGCCCCAAAAGACCACGUAAGUCACCAUUCAGCAUCAUUUAUAACCUGGCACUCUUCAGCAACAUAUAUAUUAACAAUGUACUAAGAACCACCCUUGGCCAUUGUACGCCAGCCAUUAUGUUGGGGACUUGAUUUCUCAACACUCAGCACAAUAUAAUGAUACCCAAUAGUUCAUGACCUCAGCGUCGCUUUGAACCAGACUUAAAGUGCAUUUCCCUCAAAAUUUCAAGGGUCACCAAAGACCAACCAUCUUGAGUUUGGGCAAAAAUUUUGUUAUUCAAUGUGUUGAUGUAUACACUUAUGUUACCAAAGCCAUAUUAAAAACCCAAUAUAUAUGCAAUAUAACAAUAAUAAGGCAAACAAUAAAGCAGUAAACAAAUAAAGAACACACGAUAUUUUUAACGUGGUAAAACCCAAUAUGGGUAACGUCCACGGUUGUCCUCGCGACAACAAAUAAAUCCACUAGAUGAAAAGAGAUGUACAAACCUAUCAACUACCUGCAAUCACUGCGAGUUGACACUACCGGUUAUCUCUAACACCUUGACUUCACCAGAGCACCUUGAUGUACGCACAAGACACUCGACUUCUUGAUGAACACACAAGAAGACUCGAAGCCGAUCUAUGUAACAAGCUUACACCAGAGUUCCUUGAUGAACACACAAGGAUACUCGACUUCUUGAUGAACACAUAAGAAGACUCGAAGCUAAAUCACUAUUCAAUAAGGAAGAAGAAGAUGAGUUCAAUCACCAAAACAACCUAAACCAAAACCUAAACAAACUCCAAGACUAGAGAUGAAUUGGACGGCCAAAAACCUGAUUUGUUCUUUGGUAGAAAACCCUAUUUAUAGUUAGGGUUUGAAACAAGAGAAAAUGGGCCGAAAUAGGCAAAACACAUAUUAGACGUACGUACGUCGAAACAAGGUACGUACGUCCCUGAGAUGUAAAAGUUCGCUGCCUACCUGGACGUACGAACGUCCUAACUACGUACGUACGUCCUGACCAAAACAUGUUUGCUGCCUCAAUGGACGUACGUACGUCCUAAUUAGGUACGUACGUCCUGAACCCCAAAACUUGACUUUGACAUACGACUCAAGGACACGGACACAGGACGUCGUGCGUACAACUUGGUUUUUCUAACAAUGAAUUCAAGGCGAGAUAACCGAGAUAACUAAUGUCACAAAAUUAAUGUCAAAUAACCGAGUGUCGGUUUCACAUAUAUCUGGAGGCCAUUAUGUGUUCUACCCGGUUUAGGCUUGAAGAGCAACUCAUUCUCCUGCGCGUACAAUUCAAUGACUUCUUUCAAACUCAUAACAUGUCCAGCAUCCAUAGCAGAUGCUUGCUGUGUUGUGCGCAGCGGAAACUUAUGCACUAAUACCCAAGAUUGAAAUAGUGUACGAAAGAUGACAAAGCAAGUAGUAAAGAAGUAAACCUACUUAGCAGCAACAAAUAAUAGAGAGAGACACCAAAAUAACGUGGUUCGGCUUGAUUGCCUACGUCCAUGGACAAACAAAUAGAACUUUUACUAUUGGAGAAAAUAGUACAAAAUUCUCAAACAAAUGGAGAAACCCUAGGUUUCCUCCUUUCUCAAAUCCUCACCAAAUCUCUCAAAGAAUCACCAAUUGGGGAUACAAACUCUCUCUCACAUUUGGAUGGAGACGAUCACAAGCCCUCACGAAGAAACCAAAGUUUUCUUCCUCACAAAAGUUCUCUCAAAUUCUCUAAUGGCUUCUCACAAUCUCUCUCACAUCAAGAUUGGGUUUUCCAACCUUCUCAUUGGCUUUAUAACAUAGCCUUACAAUCAAACACGAAAUGGGCUUAAACAGGGCCCAUAUAGCACAAAAGCAAAGAAGGACGUACGUACGUCGAACAAACGUUCGUACGUUCAGCAAAAACAAAGUUGUCUGUGAUACGGGACGUACGUACGCCCUAACUACGUACGUACGUUCCUGAAAGAAAAACUUCCCUUCACCAAAAAACCCAACAAUUCUCCACCUCGGCGAAAAUUCAAUAAAUCUAAGCCGACACCAAGAAUAAACCAAGUCCCAAACUCCCACACAUGUCCCGAAGGACCAAAACGGCUGCACCACCUCAUGGUUGCAUGCAUACCCUUCUCCUAAGGGAUCAAACUAUCGUAGUUCACUCCAAUGACAUCUAUACGAUGCCCACCAUACCCCGAAGGGUCAAAUUCCCACAAGGGGCCAAAUCAAAACCAAAUGCCCACCAAUGCCCUAUAGGGCUCACAAACAACUUCAACACAAUGGGGUCCAAGCUACCAAAUACCAUCUCCACCUCAACAAAGUUCUCCAUCGAAGAUGAUCCAAUGCCCCGAUGUCCAUGACAUUACCCAAGAAAACUGAUCUAGUUUUUGAUCUGCAGGGUUCACCUGGAACUCGUGUAGAACAUUUGCUAAUUUUGGUACUAUAUGCCGAACAAGCAAAUGUUCCCAACUGGCUGGAUCGAAAACAGUCUUCCACCAUGUAACUAUAAAAGUUGGAACGAGACCUUCUGACCUAAUUCUUCUUUAUUAGAAACUACUUACCCGUGGACCGUGGUAGUAAUUCCAAUCCGACUGAAACUAAAACUCUCGAAACACAAUCGUUACAUAAAAACCCAACUUUCCCAAACCCAUCUAAAACCUUAUCAAGCAAAUACAAAUUCUUUAAUUGAUUAUCAAUCAAUGGCUGGUAAAGGUGAGUGUUUGAUUGGAGAUCCUACCAGUAAUCAAGUCGCAAUGAACUCUGUCAAAACUAUUUUCGGUAAGUUUAAGCAUUGUGUUGUUUUCUGAUUAUCUGUUUAUAAGCUUGUUUAGAUCUGUAGGAAUAGAGUUUAUGCAUAAUUUGAGGUAUUAAUUUGAAACCUUUACUUUAUUAAUUUGAAAGUCUAUUUGUGCUAUUUUAAUUUAAUUUUGCUACACUUCUUUUGAUUAACCAGUAAAACUCGAAAACUCCUUUCUCUUACAAUUGUAUUGUAUGCACUUAUCAAAUUAUUAAAUUGUGCAAAACCCUAACUUGGAAGAUCCCAGAUAUUCUCAAAUUUUUGUUAAUAUUCUCAAAUUAUGACAUAGAGGAGAGUCUGGGUUUUAUGAAGGUUGGAUAUCCGGCUAUAUCUGGAAUUUUGGACUAUGGAUAUAGCUGAAAGUGAAACAAAUGGAUUUAUUAUUUUGGGAGUUGCAAUAGAACAUUUUCUUUUAAUUUUGAGUGAGAAUUUGUUGAUGUCUAGUGACAGUGAUAACAGAUAACCUUUGGUGGGAUUUCAAUGUCUGUUGUUUUUUAGAUUGAACCUUGGACAUAAAUAUAUCGGUUUAUCUAUGUUCCUGUGUUUUAUCGUUGUCCAUACCUAAAUUGAUCUUUUUGCUUUUGAAACUUUAUAGAAUCAAUUUUUGGGGUCUCAAUGUGUAAAAAAAGUUUAGUUAUUUGUUUUCACUUAAUGUUUACACUUUUUUUUUUUUUUUGCUUCAUACAGCUAGCGAAGAAAAAGAUGAAUACAUUCCAACUAUGUGUAACUAUUGUUGGCAGAAGGCUGACCAUGGUAUAGAUAUGUGCCCCGGCUGGGAUAUGGAGCCAUUACCCUGCCCUGGUUCGAACGCGUUACAAACACGUCCUUGCAGUUUUGAUAAAGAAAGGAAUGCAAUAAGGAAUUCAUUUUGGAUAGGCGACCUCUCCGAGGAAACCAAUUAUUUUGAUGUGCUUGAUAUAAACAACAUUUAUGGUCGUGUGUCAGGAAUAACAAUCAAAACCGACAGGAAAGAUGAUCUGCCCAAAAGAUUUGGUCGUGUGAGCUCUGUAAAUAGUGAUGAUGCAAAGAGAGGUCUCUACAGCGUCCUGGAAAAAGAUUAUAGUGUUGAUUGGUUGGAGGAUGUGAAAGUUAUGAUGUGUCGUAAGCUCAUGCUUAAAUUUGGAAACUUGUAGGUCCUUCAUAUAUUUUAUUUUGUAUAAUUUUGUAUGGAUAUAUUAGCGUUCACUUUAAUCAUGCAAAUAUGGAAAGUAGAUCGUUGAUUCAGGCUGGACUGCUGCGAUGGUACUGAACAUAUGCCAUCUCUAUGGUCUGUUUUCUCCCCACAUAUAUUGCAGGAUGGCCUAAAUUUUGUAGCAUCUCUGACAAUCAUCAAUCGGAAUGAAAAUAACCCAAUGGUGAAUUUGUUGGCAUGAAAUGAUUUCUAUGAGCAUUUGUCCUGUGAGAUCUCUCAGAGUGUUUCUCAAAGGGCUUCAAUAUUUAAGCAUGAUAUUCUCUUCCUGUACACUACAUGCAUGUUGAUCUUUACACAAAAUAUGGCAGAGAUUAUAUGUUUGUCAUAUGGGGCGGAAAAUUGAUCAAUUUAAAUGAGAAAUAUUUAUGACUUCAUCUUUGUUUUCUAGGUAUGGUAAAGGAUUUGUUGUUGCAAUUGCAACAAAUCCUACAUAUAUAAUUGCACUAAUUAGUUCAUGACAUCGAAAAUAUCAGAGUAUCAGACAACCCUAUGUGUAAUCAUUCUUGAGGCUUGCCAGGCUCCCAGCGACCUUUGAAAUCGUCAAGUACUUAGUAUCUAACUAAUAGUCAAAGCUCGAUCUUCACAUUGACAACAAAGAACAAAAAUGAACAUAGACUAACAAGUACCAACUUAAUUAACAUAAGUAGUGAUGAAAAACAAAUCACUUUAUAGCUUAUAACAGUUAGUUGCUAGUACUGAGAGUUCAUGCAUGUUUGUUGUUUUUUCUGUUGAUGAAAAUGUUUGUCCUAUUGGCACUACUACUUUGUUUCCUAUUGGCGAAUGAGCCUGUGGCUCAAUGGUAGCACCUCUCUCACAAAGUGGAGAGGUCGUGGGGUUCGAAACACGUCAACAGUGGAUUGUUGAUAUAAGUUUGCACGCGUAAUUUAAAAAGGGUAAGGGUCCCACAACCUCCAACAAAAAAAAAAAAAAAAAACUGCAUGUUCUAUACAUAGAGCUAGAUGAGAGAGUUUGUACUGGCUUGAUAACGGAUAUGCCUCAUGAAGUUUCACAUGGUUAUGUUUAGCAACUGAUUGGCAACAUUAAUCAAGUGGUCAAUUUGUACCUCUUAUUGCCAAGCCCUAUGGCCUAUCAUUUUUUGUGACAGCUUUUAACAUCCCCACCUGCAGCUUUUAACCUAUUCUUCAUUUUUAGAUAUAAAUGGAGUGAGUGCCAACUCGUGUACUGUCUUCUUCUUGGUAGGACAUGUUGUUGUCAAUUGUUUCAAUAAAACAAUAAAUCAAUGUGACUAGCUACCCUAUACAGAAAUUCAAGAUAGCAGACAAAACCAUGUUAUCCUUCACAAGGGUAUGUCUUUUAACUUACCUCAUGACACUUUCUUGAUCGCCAUUUCCACUCUAUAUAUACACACAUGUAUUAGCUUAGAGUAUUCAUUCAACUCCUAGUAUUUACAUCAUCUCUUGGGCAGCUAUACAAAAUCUUCUCCUCCUUUUUGCUAGUGUUUUAGCAUCCAUGGCAAUUCGAUUACCUGGUAUUCCACAUAUUAAGAGAAGUCUCUGUUCGAAUAAAGAAACCUCAAUUGUUCCAAGAGGACACAUAGCAAUUUAUGUUGGAGAAUGUGAAAAAAAGCGGUUUGUGGUUCCAUUAUCAUACUUGAACCAUCCUUCAUUUCAAGAUUUACUACAACAAUCAGAGGAAGAGUUUGGAUUUAGUCAUCCGAUUGAAGAGAGAAGUGAGGCAUAAAGUUGAGAUCUAGGUCUUCUUGAGAGAGAUUUUUAUUAGGAUUCUGAUCCUUUGAUUGGGGAUCAACCACCAAAACCCUUUGAUUGAAGAUCUUAAACCACCGAAUUUAAUUAAAUUGUCAAAAACUAAGUUCUGCAAUACAUCCAUAGCCUUAUAUAGGCAAAAAUUAAAGACUCCUAAUUACUCUAGAAUUACUAAAAUAACAAAGACAAUAAAUAAAGAACCGACAAUAGUAUGGUUUUCCUAACAUCCCACCCCCUUUAAACCAAGGUUUGUCCUCAAGCCGAAAAAUUUGGAAAACGAACAGAGAACUCAUGACGGUCUUCCCAAGUAGCUUCCUCAUCAGGAUGAUCCUUCCAUUUGAUAAGCCAACGAAUGACAGCACGGUUGUUCUUCCUACAAAUACCACGAUCCAGAAUUUUUUCUGGCACCUAUGGAGAAACAUCGACUAGAGUUGGUAAACUGGUUUCAGGGUUAACAUUAUCACCUAAUUUCAACUUCAAAGCAGAGACAUGGAACACAGGAUGUAUACGACAUCCAUCUGGAAGGCGCAACUUAUAAGCAACAGGACCAAUCUUAGCAAUAAUCUGAAAUGGUCCAUAAAAGCGUGGAGAAAGCUUUGAAUAACUCUGAGAUGCAGCUGUGGAUUGGCGAUAAGGUUGAAGUCUUAGAAAAACCCAGUCAUUUACCACAAAUUCACGCUCCGUACGAUGAGAAUCAGUAUAGAAUUUCAUGCGUGCUUGAGCAGACUGAAGAUGAUCUUUUAAAAGUUUUAAAGUGCGAUCACGAUCUCGUAAAGCAAUAUCAACAGCAUGAACAUCAGUAAUACCUGGAAGAUAACAUGAAACUGAAGGAGGGGGCCUCCUAUAGACAGCUUUGAAAGGUGUCAUCUUAAUGGCCGAGUGAUAAGUGGUGUUGUACCACCAUUUAGCCCAAGGCAGCCAACGAGUCCAAUCAUGAGGUUUUUUGUAACACCCAUGAGUUGGUGUUAGUCCCACAUUACCAAGGAAGUGGUUGUGUUGGUAGUAUAUAGAGCUUAAUCAUACUCUAACUAAUGUCAAGGCCUUUUGGGGUAAACCACAUGGGUGGGCCCUGAUCCAAAACCCUCUACUGCUGGAUAUCCGCAGUGACUAAAGGGGGACAAUAUUGACAUUAGCGAGCGGUAUGGUGCUCGACGCACCGGGAUGAGCGAGGACGAAAUCCCGGGGCGUUACAUUUUUUACCAGAAAAGCAUCGAAGAUAACAUUCCAAAGUGCGAUUAGUAACCUCGGUUUGGCCAUCUGUUUGGGGAUGAUAAGCCGAACUCUGACAUAACUUGAAACCUUGCAUGGUAAGAAAUGUUUGCCAAAAGGUACUAACAAAGAUAGGAUCGCGAUCACAAACAAUCGUACGAGGCAUACCAUGCAAACGGACAAUAUCUCUCACAAAAAAAUCAGCAAUAUUAGUGGCAGUACAUGGAUGAGAUAGGGCGCUAAAGUGUGCAUACUUGGAGACGGUCUACAACGACCAAAAUCGUAGUCUUACGAUUAGAAGAAGGCAUCCCAUCAAUAAAAUCCAUAGAUAAAUCCAACCACACAUCAUCAGGAAUUGGCAAGGGAUUGAGAAGUCCAGGAGGUGAAAUCGUUUCUGCCUUAUUACGUUGACACACAUCACACUGAGCUAUGUAAGUCUUGAUUGUUCCUUUCAUACCAUGCCAAUAAAAAUGUUGUUGUAGACGUUUGUAGGUGCGUAAGAACCUUAAAUGGCCGCCAACUGGAGUGGCAUGAAAUUCAUGCAAUAGUUUAGAGCACCAAGAAGAAGAAGGAACAACCACAAUACAACUCUUGUAACGAAGGAUGUCAUCCUCAUAGGAAUAAUGUUUCUUGCUGGAGGAAGAAGAUUGCAGAUCAUUAAUAAUAGUGCGCAUGGAAACAUCUGAAUGACAUUCCUGUACAAUCUCAUUGAUGCCUGAAAAAAUAGGGAAGAAAUAGCAAGAAUACUCGAAGGCUCAGAAACACGAGAUAAGGCAUCAGCAGCUUGGUUAGAAGAACCAGGACGGUAUAUAGUUUCAUAAUCAUACCCCAAUAACUUAGAUGACCAUUUUUGUUGUUCAAUGGAAGAAAUCCGUUGUUCCAAAAAAUACUUAAGACUCCGAUGGUCGGUGUAAAUUUUAAAGUGGCGACCAAGUAGGUAAGGAUGCCAUUUUUGAACCGCGGAAACAAUAGCAAGCAUUUCCUUAUCAUAAACAGAAAGAUUCAGAUUGUUACUGGAUAAAGCUUUGCUAAAAUAAGCAAUUGGGCGCCCAUCUUGUAUAAGAACAACACCUAUGCCAUGACCAGAAGCAUCACUCUUAAUGGAGAAUUCUUUUGUGAAAUCAGGAAGAGCUAGGACAGGAGUACUAGACAAAGCAGUCUUUAACUUAGAAAAAGCAACAGUAGCAUCCUCAUUCCAUAUGAACGAAUUCUUCUUUAAUAAUCGAGUCAAAGGAGAUGUGAGCUUACCAUAAUCCUUGACAAAUUUGCGAUAAUACCCAGUCAAUCCUAAGAAUCCACGCAAAACUUUAAUUGAUGAUGGAAGAGGCCAUCCAAUAGCACUAGAAAUUUUGUCAGUAUCAACUGCCACACCAUUACCAGAAAUAACAUGACCCAAAUAACCAAUGGAAGACUGAGCAAAUGAACAUUUGGAUUUCUUCACAAACAACUGAUUAGUGCGCAAAAUACCAAGAACAAUAGACAAGUGACGGAGAUGGUCAGAUAAGGAAACACUAUACACCAAUAUAUCAUCAAAGAAGACAAGCACGAAUUUGCGCAAAUAAGGACGAAAAAAGAUCAUCGUCAAACUCUGAAAAGUAGCAGGAGCAUUAGAGAGACCAAAAGGCAUAACUAAAAAUUCAAAGUGGCCUUUUUUUAAUAAUGGCCCUUUUUUAAAAAUUCAUGCGAGUGAGUGCUCUUUGUAUCACCCUUUUUUCUUCAUAGUGAAACUUUAUCAUCUUGCCCCGUAGACGUAGGCUUACGCCGAACUACGUUAAAUCUUGUGUUGUGAGUACUUAAAUUUCUUUUAUCGUGUUUUACUUUCUAGUUACAUAUACUUGAUUGUUAUUCUAGUAGUUAGUUCUUCAUAUUAUUGUCUACAAGUUAGUUUCUUCAAGGUAUUAUCUUGAACAAAGGUUACACCUUAAUUGGUGUAAAUCACGUUGUGAACAAAUCGCUUCCGCAUUAUUGGCGUGAUUCCCAACACAAGGUACUUCCUAAUAAUGACGUCAAUGCGAGAUAACCUUGGACACUCCUAACUUAGUCACAAAAUGAUGUCAAACAGAAUACCGUUUCAAUUUCUGCAUGUUUAGAGAAGUCUUCAUAGGUUUGGAGAGAUCUCUCAUCUUCAGUACGCCCUAAGGCCACAUGCCCACAUAGCAGUGUAUGUCAGAGAGAAACGAAAGAAGCAAUUUGGUGUUCCAAUAUCAACCUUAAACUAUAUCGUUUCAAGAAGACUGGUUAAAUCAAGCCGAAGAAGCUUGAGUAUGGCUUUAGUCACCCAAUGGGAGGCCUCACAAUCCCAUGUGGCCGGUGAAGACUCCUUCGUUGAAAUACCUGGUCAGUUGAAUCAUUGCAAGUCAGUUGCUGAGCACAGAUUGCAACAAUAUGGUCUUAGAUAUUAGAAUUCUUAUGUAAAUGUAUCUUUAUAGUACGUAGACAUGGAAGCAUACAAAUAUGGUUCCAAAUGUUUCACCCUUUCACAAAAUCACUGAAUAGAACUUCAUUUUCCAAAUGUUUCACCCUUUCCAAAAAAAAAAAGUAGUACAAGAGUUUCAGAAAUGUUUGGAGUGAUUGAGAAGUUCACCCAAGACAUUCACAACUUUAAACAAGUACACAUAGCGAAAAACAGUACAGAGACAAGAACUGAGUAAUCUGGUAGAAGUAGGAUGUCCCAGUGCAUCAGCAGAUCACCAAAUCGAAGAGUACAUGCACAUAAAUAUGAAUCGCUAAUUUUAACUUUAGCUAUAAGUGUUCUGUUAAUAGAAGAAGCAUAUAUAACUACACUGAAGUAAACUUAUUAGUUGACGCUAUAGCUGAUUCCAGUUUGGAAGUAUGUAUCUUUUGUUGAUGAUGUUUUUCUCCACUGUAAACUGGCUUUUCAGAACAUUUGUGGCAACAGGAGUGAACAUUUGUGGCAACAAUUCCUGAUCAAAAUCAUCAGCUAUAGGCCAACAUAUUGAAAGAAAAUUUAACCCGUCACUGCAUUCCUUCACCUUUAACUCUUUCUCUAUUUCUUGCACAUGGCACUCAUCGGUGUAAGGCUCUGGAGUUCUUUUGUGGAGAGACUUGCCAGUGUGGCUAUCUUUUACAUCGAGCAUAUUGUUUCUGGUUGUGUAUUUUUUACUUGUACGGAAGGCAAUUGUUCCCACUGCUCUUCAAGUAUAUUGGAAGUGCAUAUACGCAGCACGUGCAUCCACUGGUUUCCAUGAGCCAAUGGAAAUCAUUGACUGCCAUUCUCUGCUAAUUGCUGAAGGCAAGACCAAUUGCAGUUCCUCAGAUAGUCCUCCAAUAAGUUUUCCACAACAUGUUGAUAAUGCAAAUCAGAAUUGGAAAAUUUCUCGUCACAGGAACAGCAUAUCCAAAAUUUCCAAUUAUUAUGAUCCUUAGAAAAGCAUAUAGCUUCUGAUAUAACCACCUUUGCGUAAUAACGUUUUGGUGAAUGAAUGAGCCAAGAGAUCAUGAAAAUCCAUUUUUCUCAUCAACACUGAUUAAGUUCCAAAGAAGACGCACCUUCAGAUUCUUACCUUUGCCACCUUCAUCAGGCUGUACUAGGGGUGUCUCCAUAUUCUCCUGGAGUGAUUCAGAAUUCUGUUGGACUGCCUGUUCUAUCCUUGUAGCAACCACAUCGAUCUGCCUCGAUCUUCUUCCUUGGCUCUUCAAGGGCUAAAUUUGCAUAGAUUGUCCAUCUUCAUUAUGGUCGAUCUAGAAUAGCCAGGUAUCUCUUAUUCUGGCAAAUCUCCUCUUUCUCCUUUUGUGAAAUCUGUUCCUUAGAUUAUUUAUAUGCAAAAAUAUUUAUGCAUUCAUCAACAAGUAUACGAAUGUAUUUCUGAUUUUCUGCAAUUCUGGCUUCAAGAGUUGGAAAACUAUCAGUUAUUUGUCCCAUCUAUCUUUAGCUGGAUCAAUUGGGGUUAUAACGGCGACUAAUCUCUGGCCUUCUUGAACAACUCUUUCAUAAAAAUCACACUCAAAGAGUAAUCUUGCACUACUCAAUUGAAUUUGGUGAGAGUUGAACAGCCUUUUCAGCUGAAUCCAAUGCCUGUCAAUAAGCAUUUUUUUCUCUUAAUGCAAAGUCAUAAUUGUCAGAAAGAGCCAUCAUACAAAUAUCACUAUGGACUCCAUGGAGUAAAGCUGAGUUCUUGUUGGGACGACACACUUCUUCAAUGAUUUUCAAUGCUUUUGUAUGAUUCCACUAUGAAAUACACCAUCAGCUCUAUUGCAUUAUUGGUGGCCUGGGUGCAUUGGAUGUUUCUGAUGAAUUGGAUGGAUGAACUUUCCUGGUUUUUUUCUUCCACAUUGUGUUGUUUUCAACGAGUUACUUAGAGAGAAACGGCAAGAAGAAGGAGAACUGUGAGUGAAGGUGUUGAGGUUCUUGAAUGCUUUUGUUGGGAAAGCAAAGUUGUUAUUAAGACGGGUAAAACGAUUAUUUUGAAAUUCACUGUUUGAGGAAUUUCAUCAAACAUGUUGGACUCAAUAAACUUCAACCUUCUCCUGCAUUUUUAUAUUAGUUCCUAAACAAACAGCCCGCUCGGCUUACCGAUAUUGGGGUAUUGGACUAUUGGCAAGGCAUAUCAAAGAAUCCUUUUUAAAGAUACAAACAUCCCAUUAUGUUCACAUGGAUGGAUUAAAUUACACAUGAGCACCACCUUCCUUAUGCUAGCUUGCCAAGUAAAAAAAUAAAAAUAAAAAUUUGCAGAACUCUAGGUCUAGUGAUCAGUCAUACAAAGAUGGAUGUGGAAGUUGAAGCUGUUAAACAACUUUUCUUUUCUUUUCUUUUCUUUUUAUUGGCAAGCCUGUUUUUAACGAGAUCAGUAACUCAAAGAUGCACUGCCUGAGAUCGAACCCCAGACCUUUGAUCAAGUAGAGAAUUUUAAUAGGUUUGACAAAGUGUAGAAUUUCAAUUUUUUUCAGAUACAUAAAACAAGAACUAAAACACCAUGGGAACUGGGAAGUGAUUGUACUACAGCUGACAGGCCAAGACCUCCAGAUCAACUACCACAAGCCUUGGCCACAAUAUUUUUCUGUCAAGCAUUUCUUUAAACAAUAAUGGCUAUAUCAAUGCAUACACACUUAACGUAUGUUGCAACAGACAGACAGAGGGUGCAACACCGACGUUUAACCCUCUGUAUGCUUGGAAAAGGCAGUUUACAUAUAUUAUAAGAAAACCACAAACCAUAUGAAUUCACGAUUAUACAGUAGUAAAAUGCAUGACAUUUUAUUUCAAAAGGCUCGCAAUCUAUUUAUAACUUGUACGCAGUAUUAUUAUGAGAAACAUUAGUCACUGUCUAUUGUAACAGCAUGACACAGUAGAUCCAACUAAGCUGUAUGGUUAAUGAGGCUUUUCAUUAGCAACUAUCAAUGUGUAAACUUUGUUAAAGAUCUAGAUUACCAGCUUCAGGCUCGGACUCUUUAUCACCUGAAUACAUAACAGCUCUUUCAGAUAACGUACUGAUGGAUCAUUCUCAUAUUGCCUUGUGCUUUUCCAGCUUCUCUUCAAGCUCUCUUGCCAACGUACUAUUCAUCGCGUAUCAAGCCCUCGUCAGACAAUGUACAUGUAUUCUCCAAUAUAUGACUACGCAAGGCUGAGGCAACAUCAAGUAAACUGCAGCAUGAGCACAAACAACUACAUUAUAAAAAGAGACUACCAGUGGCAAUUCAGUAUCAUAUCAGAGCGAGUAUGUGCCUCAUAUGAGGUGGGGAGACACGAAACACAUACAGUUCUACUUCACUCCCAUGUUCGAGUGGAAUCUUCUCCGUUAAGUAACAAAAAUAAAUUAACUACACCUGAUAAAAGUAGGAAGCCAGGAAGAAAAUAGAUUAAAAGUUCAAACCUUUAUAUCCUUUGUGUUUAUUAAUACCUUGUUCAUCCGAUUAUCUGAUUUCAUCUGUGGUUGAUUCCCUUCUUUAUUGACACUCUUCUCAACAUCAGGUGAAAUUUGAGCUACAUUCUUUGCACCGUCAGAAUUUUCUGCCACUUCUUUGCCAGAAAGUUCCUCCAUUUUUGCCUUCGACAUAAACAAGCACCCCAGACAAACUAAGUUAAUACUAAGAAUGGUAAGUCAAAUGAUAAAACAAAAAUUUAUUUAACAGUUGACAGAAUCACACCAGAAUGUAUGACUUCACAAGAGGCACAAGAAUUGUCUGAUAAUCACCAGCAGCAAAAGGGUUAAUCCUACUAUCCAAUUUGUCCCUUUCCCUUAGAGUGCGCAUGAUCAAUGUAUCAAUUUUCAUGAGCUGCAGAACAAGAGUAUAAGAUUAAUGUUACACCAUGGGCGUAUAUUAUCUUUCUUGACUAAUCAAUGUAAUAAUACCGCACCUUUAAAUCUAUAUUUUUACCGAAAUUUUUAAUUUCUUCUUUUAUGCAAGUGUCAGCACUAUUGAGGUAGCUCUGCAUUAUCAGAUCACCAUCUUCAAAAGUCUCCACACCACAAACAUCAGUUGCCACAGCAGUCAAAGUUGGCUCACAUAUGAAGUCUAUUGAUUGUACUUUGUUCAGAACAUUUCGUAUGAUAUCCAACAAGGAAUUAUUUAGCUUGGAAACAUUGUUCUGUUUCUCAAGUUCAAUAGACUCUUCAAGCUUCUUCUGAAGGAUUGUUGCAAAACUUCGGGAUGAAUGUUUGGUGCUGAACUUCCUUUCCUUAAGUUCACUAAACAAAAGAGCCCAAAUAGCCUGUAAAGUUUCCUUGUAAUUCAACUGGUUACAUUUUUCCUCACACAAGUUUGUCAAGGUGUGACAAUUCUUCUCAAGAAUCUGAUUAAGCUUUUUUCCGCGAUCUUUUCUUAAUUUCUCGCAAUCUGACCAUACUUUCAGUUCUUCCCCAUUUGACGGACCUGUAUAGAUCCACCUCAAUAUAUCGUCAGAACUGAGUGAUCCCAUAUCUCUUUUAUCCCUAUCAGAAACGAAAGUUGUUGAAGCAUGGACAUCAGUAUAUACUUCUGAAGUACUUUUUCCACAAAGUGAAUGCUCGUCGACAAGGAUUGAGUCACCAUUAAGAAUGAUCCUCUCGUUAGUAUCAUGUUUCAAGAUGCUACUAUGGAGAAGUUUAUCAAUCUCACUUUUGUUUCCCGUGUUUUCCUCAUUAAGAAAUUUAGUUAAUUCACGUAAAAAAAGGAUGAUUUGUCGAAGUUUUGAUGCAUCUAAGAAACAUAUGCAGAUAUGGGUUUGGUCUAAGCCAAGUUUCGAAAUACUUAGACCAGGAAAUAGACCCUGUAAUAUCUUCAUAGUGUAGUGAACCACCUUAUACACAUGAUCAGCAGCAAGAGCCCCAGUUUUCAGUAGAUAUUGUAGUGUCAUGCAGGUUCUCAUAAGAAAUUUUGAGCGAUCAGAAUCCUUGGAUACAGGCAAACAUAGUUUCUCUCUGCAAUCCUUCCACUCAGACUCUUCCUCUAUUUGUUCAUCGGUGGAAGGCUCUGGAGUGCUUUUGUGGUAAGACUCUCCAGUGUGCUUAACAUUUUUGUUGAGCUCUAUGAGUAUGGGAAGUGCAGCAGAUGCAUCCACUGGUAUCCAUGGGCAAUUGGAAAUCAUUAACUGCCAUUCUCUGCUAACUGCUGAAGGCAAGACCAAUUGCAGUUCCUCUGAUAGUCUUCCAAUAUGCUUUUCCACAACAUGUUGAUAAUGCAAAUCAGAAUCCAAGAAUUUUAUGCCACAGGAACAGCAUAUCCAAAAUUUCCAACUACUAUUAUGAUCCUUAGCAAAGCGUAUAGCUUCUGAUAUAACAACCUUUGCAGAAUAACCUUUUGAUGAAUGAAGAUAGGACAAAAGAUCACAAAUAUUCAAUUUAAGUAUAUUAUACUUGUCAUCAACACUGAUUGAGUUCCAAAGAAUACGCACAUUUUCAACCUUUUCCACUAUAUUCUUCAGACUCUUAUUUUUCACAUCGUCAUAAGGUUGUACUAGGGGUGAAUUCUCCUGGAGUGAUUCAGGAUUCUGUUGAACUGGCUGUCUUAUCCUGGCAGUAGCCACAACUAAUGGUCCACUUAUAUUCUCUGCACCAACGUUAAUUACCCAGGCAGGUUCUCCACAAAAUUGAGGUUCUAGUUUACAAGCAGCGAUAACCGCACCCGUACAUUCAACCACCGCCCUUUCAUAGGAGAAGGACCUAUUUGUGGUUGGAAAUGUAAAAUGAAUACCUUGAGUAAGAACUCCCAUUCCUGACCCUUCAAUGAGAAAAUUGACUUCACUGACAUCGGUUUCACAAUUAUCAACGCGAAAGAUUUUCGCAACCUUAUGUGUAAAACCAUAAAUAACCGAUUUCUCUAGAAGAUAUCCACAAACAACUACUACCAACGGAGCAUCUUUGAACUCCUCCAAAGCAUUGCUAACAUCGAAGCACUCGCGUACGGAAUAUGCAACUAGCUCCGCAUUCAAAGGAGAUUUGCCAAUCUCUUUUCUUUCCCUGUUUGUGUUCUUUAGACAAUCCAAAAUCAACUCAUAACGCCGAACCCGACCCGAAAACAAUAACAAUACGUUUCCUUCUAAGAUAUCCAUUUUCAUCCUAUUGGGAAUUGGACUACUAGGAUCUAACAUAUUUAUGAGCUUUGAGUCUGAUGCACAAAUAAUACCCCCAUCACUAUGUUUCAUAGCAGCUAUAAUAGUAUGACAGUGUGAAUUUGAAAAAUGCUCGAAUUUUUUUUCUUUCUUCACUAAAUGCUUCAGAUUCUUACCUUUGCUAUCUUGAAGAGGUUGUACUAGGGGUGUCCCCAAAUUCUCCUGGAGCGAUACAGAACUCUUUAGAACUUCCUGUACUAACUUUGUUUUCGCAUUUGGGGUCUCUAAACCAGCCAGGGAUCUCAUAAUCUCAAAUUUCUUGUGAAUCUCCUUUUCCUCCUUUUCUGAAAUCUGAUCCUCAAGAAUGGUUGUACAUUCCUAUCUAUCUUUAGAAGAAUAGAUUGGGUUUUGAACUACGAGUGCUCUCUGGCCUUCUUGAAUAACUCUUCCACCAUAAUCAAUUUCAGCUAAUUCCAUAGUGAUAUCUGUUUGCUCGAAACUUUGGUUUUCCGCUUGUUUCAGUGCCUUAACCUUCGUCUGGUUUCCAUUGACAUAAGUAGAAUCAGCUCGUCUGCAUCCUUCCAAGAAUGCCUUUGAUUGAUUUACUUUUCUAUUUGUUUUCCUCCCCAUUGUUGUUUUCAGAGAAAUCAAGAAGAAGAGAAGAAAGAAGAACUGUGGAAGAGAAAGUUGUUAUAUUCUUCUUGAUGGCAGUUAAAACGGUUAGUGGAAAGUGUCUGCUUAUGUCAUCAUCAUCAUCAUCAUCACCAUCUCCUUAUUGACACGUCAGACAGCUAUGGCAGUGUAAAACCGAACACAAAGGAUGAAGGCAUGUCAAGUAGCUUGUUUGAGGAAUUUCAUCAAACAUAUUGGACUCAAACAAAAAACUACACCCAUGACCCACCGACCCCAAACAAGGAUGAUGAUGAUAUCUCAUUAUCUCAUAUCUAUCGUUGAAUCUUUUCAUCGGAAAAGAUUUGGUUGGGUGGUUUGGUUUCCAUUUCCAGUUCCAGUUCCAGUUCCAGUUGAUGAAAACAUAACAUGCUCUUUCUGAAAUUUCGUCAAACAUGUUGUUGGACUCAAAUAAAAAAAAAAAUGAUUUGGUUGGGUGGAUUGAAUGAUUUGGUUUGGUUUAGGUGGUUUGGUUUCCACUUGAUUAACACAUGCAAUGCAAUUCAGCAUCUUCUCUUCUCUUCUCUUCUCUUUUGAUCGUGUUUUGCUCGAGUGCUGCUUUGACGAUUUGAAUUUCUUCUCUUCAGCAUCUUUAAUCUUUAUCGUUGGAAACUUGGAAUAAUGCAUAUAUGGGCUUAAAAGAAAAAGAUGGGCUUAAUUGAAAAGCACAUUUUAACAAUAGCUCUUUUCUGAAAGAUCCAUCACAGUUUUCUUUUCUGUAGUAAAAUUGCCUGACAGUUGUUAAAAUGGUUGUUGCUAACUUGCUACUUUUACAUACACUAGCAGGAGCGUCCGUGCUCCGCACGAGCAGGAACCGCAAAACUUUCAUAAACUUCUGCGUAAUUUUUUAUUUUUUAUUUUUUUUUUAUAAAAGUGAGUAAGUGACUGCGACACAUAUAAAUUUAAGAAUUUUUUAUCUAAUAUGUACAAUAAAAAAAAAUUCGCAAAAUGAAUAUGACAAUAGAUGUAUUUUGUAUUUUGUGGUCUGAAUGUGUUAUCAGUUCUGUUUGAGUCAAACAAUGUUGUAAAGGCAUUUAUGAGGGUUCAGGUCUUAAGAUGUAUCCUCUUAGUUCCUGAACUCUUGUUUUAUAAUCCUUCCAUGAUGAGUUAAAAGUUAAAACACUUGUUUGAGUGAGUUAUUGCGUAAGGAUCACAUAUACUGAAAAAAUUGAGCCAAAGAAUUAAAAAUGGUUUGUGAAAGAGAAAAUGUUGUAAGUUGAAUGAAAGAUCUGUGAUAAUAUAUCUUAUGAACAGUAGUGUUACACACAGACCGAAUUAGUGGGUUGAUUUGUGAUUUGGAAAGGAACUUUUUUUGUUAUUUAUGAAUACGCAUAGAUAUGAGCUUUGGAUGAGCUGAACAAAGUAAUUAUGUUACUCUGUCAGUUUUAACCUUUUUUUUUAUUGGCAAACAAGGUUGAAGGGACCCUUUUAAAUUACAUUGUGAAAACUUAUACCAACAAUUAGUUGUUGAUGUGUUUCGAACUCACAACUUCUCCACUUUUGUGAGAGGAGUGCUUCCAUUGAGCCACAGGCCCAUUCACAAUCAGUUUUAACCAUUGAAUGCAACAUAAUUAUGUUCAAAGUUGAUAACAUUGAAUCAACUCCCUUGGCUCCUCCUUCACCAUGGAAAAUGAACAAGUCAUUUCCUCCAACUUGAUCUUCUUCUUCGCCUUAAAAUCGAGAAUCAACUUCUCUACCCCUUUACAACACUUACAUGUGAUGAGUUAUCCGAAAUGUAUCUUGUGGUGAACCAUUUCUAUUUGUAGAAUCACCCUUAUUAGGUAUGAGUAUAUACGAAUGCUAAGUAGGUUAAACGACCUAAUGUUAUGUGGAUGGAAUUGCAAGAAAUGAAAGUGGAUUGAAAUAUGGAACAUGAAGAAAAUAAAUCGGGAAUAUUUAUAUAUUAUUAUUUUAUAGAUUCAUUAUUAUCUUAUUUUCAUCAAAUUUCCAAUACAAAUUUGUUGAUAUUGCAUUAUUUUAUAUAAGUAAUAAGACUAUAAGAACAAAUGUGUAAAUGCACGAAAAAAUUUCGGAACAUAUAUCUUGAUUUUUAUUUGGGUUUGGAUGCAUAAAUCAAAAGGGCUUGUAGGAAAUUGUCUGAUUUUUUUUUUUAAUAAAAUAAGGGGGUUUGGCAUGGACCCCCUACUUGUAGAUAAAUCAGAUUUAGGCCGAGGCCUGGAAUAAGACCCGAUGGGUUGGGUUAGAACAAAGCUACAGAGAUAAAUCUAAAAAAACCCUUUGGGCUGGUAAGGCAUAGCACCAAGAUCAGAGAAGGAUUGACUUUGUUUGUUUGAAGUAGUCUUGGAAGUUGUAGCGCGCAGCAAAAAUCAACUCAAUCCUUCAAAAACCAUAAUGACACUUCGUUUGUAGAGCUAGAAGACCAUUUCAUGUAGCAACCAAGAAAAAGAGUGCAACCAUCCAUGGCAGCCCCAAGCGGAGAGAAGAUGAAGAGCGUUAAGAUUGAGCCGGAGGAAGAGGCUCCGGAGGUAAUGGUCAUGUGUAUAGGUGAGACUUUGUGCAAGGAACACUGGAAAAAAAUAGUGGAGCUGGUGCAAGAGAGCAAGAAAGAUUGCCCUGCAUGUAAGGCUUGUAAAGGAGUGGAGAGGUUGAUUCCUGAUGUGAAGAAAGAGAUCAAAUUGGAGGAGAUCGCUGGGUCAUCAUCGAAGGUGAAGGAGGAGCCAAGGGAGCUGAUUCUCCCUAAGGUGGAGCCUAAGGAAGAACCAACUAUUCCUAAAGCUGAUCUUAUGAUUGGAGAGCCAGAAAUCCUUCCAAUACCUAUUGAAGAAGAGGAGGAGCAUGAUCCUGAUGCGCCUUUGUUUGGUGGAGAUGUUGAAGUUGCAGGUGAACAAACCCUAAUCUGCAAAACCAAAAAUUGAGAUCAAUUUUUUUAAAAAUGUUUAUCCAGGGAAUAGUUGAUAAUGAAUUAGUUUAUUCUUCCCUAAAUGGCAGAUGAUGUUGAUGAUGUUGCUGAAGAGGAUGAAGAUGAAGAUGAGGAUGAGAUGGAAGCAGAUGAUGAGAUGGAGGACUCUUCAGAAUUUUCCUCUUCUACCACCACUGGAGCAGAUAACAAUGAAAUGGAUAUGGAUGGGCCUGAUUCCGAGGAGGAGUACAAGACUCCUUCUGAUGAUGAGUGGGAGGAGGAAGAACAGGAGUAUGAACCCACUGACUCUAAUGCAGAAGAAGACUGAUAAUCAGGCAAGGAAAUUACUUAGUUAAAAAUGUAGAUUAUUAUCAAUUAAGACUAUCAAACAAUGAUCUGUAUGUAAAUGAAAUGAAAAUCUAGAUGAAUGUUAUCUAUUUACUUGAAUCUAUUGUCUAUUAUCUGAGGAAAUUGAAAAUAGGAAUGCCAUAAUAGAAAGACUUAGGAUAAAUAGAUGCAGCUAAGUAAGAUAAGGACUUAGAGGACUUCCCUGCUAGAGACUAAGUGUGGAUUCUUAGAUAAGGAAUUUGCAUCCUGUGUCCAUAUAGAAUUUGCUUGAGUUCUGAGUGAGAGGAGACAAAUGCAGUUCCAUCAGCUUUAAGGUGCAAUCCUAUGCUUGCAAGAGAAUCUGCAGCCCUGUUACUUUCCCUGUAUGUGUGAUGGCACUAAUACUUAGGUGUCAAGGCACUGAUAUAGACUUGAUGAACCAUUUGCCUGAUUAAGUUAGUAAUUUAGUAUGAGGUAAAGAUUUUGUGUUACGUUAUUUGUAUUAUGUGUUUUUUUUUUAGUUUCGCAUUGUGUACGGGAACUCUGUAGAAAAACCAUGGGAGCGAAUCAACCUUCCUCAUCCGGUGAUAGUUGUUUCGUUGAAGAUAUUGAUUACUAUGAUCGUUUUUAUAGUGCAUUUGAUCAUUUCUAUGGGCCGCAAAUAUUUUAAUAAAUUUGAUGGUCCGUAUAAUGUUAAAGAACUAACGAUCUGGUAAAAUGAAGCAAAUGUGAAGGUUACAAAAGAAGUGGACAAUGUGUGUUCUCGGAGCAUCCAGAUUCAAUAGAUAGCAGUAGUGUCUGUGUUAUAUACGGCUUGGGAAGUUGAAUAGAGAUAUAGAAUAAUUUGAAUAGACAUUAGUUUGUAAAGAUUAUAAUCGCUUUGCAAGAUAUCCAAUAAAAAAAAAACACAAAACUGAAACAUAAAGAACAACAAUGGAAUACUCUGCAAUGAAUUAUUUUUGUACAAAUAAUAUUGUGUAUCAUACAUAUUGUUUGAAAAGAUUGUGUACAUACUUUCUUAAAAAAAUUGUGUAUCAUAUAUAUUAGUAGGUUGUACAUAUCCGAUGUUUGAGAAGCAGUAAGACACACUACACUUUCUCUUCCAAAAACUCUCUUUCUUCUUGAAGGGUUUAGUUGUGUGAUGCCGACUCAUUAUAUCCCUUUCCUUUUCAAAUGCAGUGUGUAGAUCAUCUUCUACUCAAUCUUUCAUACACAACCAUUGACAGUCAUUAGAGUUGUUCUCUGUCUUAACAACAAUCAACCGACCGUUCUGCAUUGCUAUACCAAAGGAAUGAUCAUAUUCCUAAGAUACUAAAUCACUUUAAUACAAAAAAAAUUCAGUACGUUCAAACUAUCAAAAUUAUUCUAAAACCUUUCGAGUUGAGAAUUCCAUAACUCUGUAGCUUUCAUAAAAUAUCUACUAUUGUCUAUUUGAAAAAAAGAAAAUACAUCAAAAUUCCUACAGAAUAGCUUACUUUUGUUGGGUCCAAUAAGUAUACUUGCAUAAAUUAUCUAUAAGUAUCGUGCGCGUCUACAUCCCAUCUUAGACAGAUCAAAAAUUUUGAAUGCAAAGAUCGAGAUUCAGCAACCGUCAUGGACGGCAAACAGAAAAUGCAGCUUAACGAUAUACCAAUCAAUGUAUGUUUAAUUUAAAUUGUUUUGAUUCAAAUUUCUCCAAACAAAAAAAUAUUCAUAAUCUAUUAGAAACAAAGACAACAAAUAAAUAAAAGAGAGAGAAUGAAUUAGGGUUUUUGAUGUACCAGUUGUGAUGUAAUCUAAAUCAAGUUGCCAUAUUCGAUCUUUGAUCGUUGAUGAAAUUGUUGUGCCGCAAUCGAUCAAUAAACCUGGAAUGAAGAUAGAAUUCGAAUAAUUAAAGUCUAAUUUCUAAAAAUUAGAUCGAAGAAAGGAUGUGGUGAAGGUUGUUAAGAGACCGAAGAAAAGAUGAAAGAGAAGAAGAGGAAGAAAGAGAGAGAUGCUAUGUGAAUUGAAUUGAAUUGAAGAAGAAAGAAGACUAUUCUAUAACAUAGUUUUUGCAGUGAUACUGACCUGCCAAAUGGAUACUUUCCCAUAUUCAUGCCAAACAUUUCCUCUUGCAUUACGACCAGAUUUUUCUGAACCAAGCUCCUUAUAUUCAAACUCAUCAACAACAUCCCAAAAUUUUUCUUCCCAUUCAAUGUUUUUGUGUGCAUUGAUUCCCCUAGUUAGUGUCCACCGGCAGACAACACCAUUGGGUCGUGUCAAAACACCUGUCUCUUUCCAUCAUUGCAAACCAUUGGGUUUUACUCCUUAGAAGAUGCUUCCUCAACUGCAAGAGGAGCCUCAGAUGUUUCUUAGUCAUUUACUGAAAAUUUCAUGCCAAGUUCUUGUUUCUCAUCCACAGAAUGAAGUGAUCUGAUUUAGAAUCCGCAAGGUCCAAGUUUUCUACCUGCAUGAUUGAUUGAAGAUGUGAAAGUGGAAGAUUGUGGCUUUCAACUGAGCUGUUUUCAAAUGAAAGUGUCAAAAAAUCAAGGAAAAAUUCUUUUUUCUGACAUCUGGGAGUUAUUCUUUGAACUAAUGUUGUCAUCCCGAGGAGGCGUCCAAGAGCAGAAAUCUGGAUCUGGUGUACCACUUUGCAAGCUAUCUGACUGACAUCUAAAUCCAUCCUCUCCCUGGGUCCCUCAUCAAGUAAGAUAGAACACAAAAUAAAGUUAAUAAACAAAUUAAUUUGUAUUGAAUAAAACAUGACUAAUAUUUGGCUUAACAAUUAUCCUCGUCAAAUAGCCAAGGACAAAAUAAUACCACAAAAAAAUCCAUAUAGAUUCAGAUGUAAUCAAUCUUCAAGUCUCUACUAAAGAGUCUAACCACAUGCUCUGACUUGCUUUCCUUCAAUUCUAUGUUUCUUAUGUAAAAAAAAAAAAUCGCAUCAUGGCAGGGAAGUACAAUCUUCUUAUGAUUUUUUACUAAAAUCAAAGUUUUGAGACAUCAAUUUAAUUCAUGAAACUAUGGAAAUUAGAGGCAGCAAAAAUGUCGGUUCUUUUUCUUCCUACAAUGGAAAGGAACAAAAGCAUAUAAUUAUGAAGAUGCGAAAAAGUGAGAUUCAAUUUUACAAAAUUUAAAGAACACCUAUCAUAGUUUUUUGUUUUUUGUGUAAGGAUGCAAGAAAGAAAUUAAGAACAAAGUAUAAACAAAAGAGGUUAACCCAAAAAAUGUUCACCAAUAUGAAAAUUGCAAAGACAAUGACAGGAAGUCCAAAAAAAAAUAGUUUCUGAUUUUUCUUCUCCUGAACUUUCUGUUUAGUUUGAACGUUAUUUACAUAGUCCCAUCACGCCUCUUUGAAGUGGGAGCAUUAUAAUAGCCGUACUCCACUUGCGGACAUGGGAAAAUUCAAAACAAAUCUGUAAUCGAAGGCUUGCUUACCUUUUCCAUAAAAAUGAGUAGUCCGCUCCCUCAUGCCUAUAUACUUUGCACAAUAAAUAUUAUUUGAUUCGCACAUUUUUUUCAAUCAAAAUCUGCAAGAGGAAAAAUAAAAUUAGGAAAAUUUGAAACAAUUUGGUAUUAGAUGGCAAAAUAAUACUUUAAAUUUCACAUUCAAGCACUCAAUAAAAGAUUGAAAGCUAAAAGAAAAGAUUUAAUAAAUUAAUCAGUAAACAAUCUGAUAGUCCUACUUUUUUUACCUUAAUCUGAUAGCGGCCGGGUGAAAGUCAAAAUCACCAUCAUGUCGAAGCAGUUGUGAAAUUAAACCCUAUCAAAAUUUUAUUCCAAUUUCAAAACAGUUCAUUAACCGAGAGUUUAAAUUGAUUGCAAAUCUUGCUUUCUAUAAACAAAACAUCACAGUUUUUUUUUUUUAAAUAGUCAUCACCACAAAUUGUUAAAUAUGGGAAACAAAAUUAAACGGAUUUUCAAGUUAACAAUCAAAGAAAUCUUCAUGGGAGUCUAAGGGAAGUCAUAUUAUAAAGAAGUCAUGUUAUGGUAAUUGUCACCUUCAUUGUUUUGAUUAUCUCCUCAAGAACUGACAUCAAUGUAGUACAAACAUAUUGUUAACAGACAUAUUGUUAAUAAAAACCUCUGGAUUCUUAUCAAAGUUAAGGCACAAACACUAUACCUGAAUAUCUUCCUACAUUUGAUUUGCCCAAAAUGCCCUGCCUUUUGGGUUGGGUUGCUCCAAAACAAACCCACACGAACUCCAUUACACAUGUUAUGUUGAAGGCCAUGUGUUUCUCUUCAACCCAUUCUCUCUCUACUCUCUUCUCAAUAUAUUUAGAAAAAAAAUUUCAGCUUUUAAAUCUCAGCUUUCUAUAACUAAUCUAACUAUCCCUUUCUUUCUCCGAAUUGAUUUUUCUCUUGAUCUCAAUUCCAUUUCUUCUUCCUUUCUGUAUACUCUCUUCUCACUCUUCUCUUUCUUAAAAUAGCAUUUUAAAAUGCAAGUAUGUGAAGUAAAACCAAAUGCAAAUAAACCUUGAAAUCAAAUGUAAAUAAACCUUCAGAACUCAGUAGCAUCAUUCUUACAUUCAUCUCAAAUACUAUCAGAUUAGAUGUCUGCGACAAACCAAAAGUCCAAAGCAACUUGCAACUCAAGAAUGUACUAAUACGACAACACAUUGUUGGACUAAACUACACACGUAAAGCCUACAAUACCCUUACUUCCAGCAGAUUACAUUGUGAAAAUAAAUUAAAUAAAAAAUGUGCAUAUGGCGUGUUUUUUGUUUCAUUAAUAUUUUUUAUUCCACAUGCAUGUGCCUAUUACCAACUUUCAGUUGAUCAUAAUGCAUAUGCAUACUUAGAAAUGUAAUUGUCAAAAUGGUGUCCACACCUGGUGAUAUUAUGCUAUAUUGGUGAUUAUUCAAAAUAGGUUCACACCUGGUGAUAUUAUGACAGUCUCAAUUUGAGCUCCAACUUGGUGAUAUUAAUCAAAAUCAUAACAAAGAUAAUCAUUAUCCAAUACACAACCAAAGGCCAAAGCAAUUGUAUUUAUUGAUGUGUUAUUGAAGAGUUACCUGAAUAACAGCAACACCACCUGAGAGCCUAGCGAUUCUUCCGUUAAUCUUUUCCUUUACGUAGUCUUGUCCUGCAACCUGCAAAAUCGAAGACAUUAUUUGAUAUGAUUUUGAUUUUAAGAAUAAAUAUGAAUAACAGAUUCAAAAAAUAGAACCGCAUACUCAAACUUAUGAAAUUGUACCUCAAUAAGGUUUUGAAUCUGGGAGACUCGUUGGUUUACUGCUUCCUGGAUGCUACCAUCACCAACAAUUUUUGUUGUUUCCUUGUUGAACACCACCUUUGCAGCAUGACCAAGGAUUUCCUUAUCAGCCUCAUCAAAAGUUAGGCCAACUUCCUUUUUAAUCACAGUGACUAACAAUUAUAUGGCAGCAUAUAAUCAGUGUGCUCAGCAUAAACAUAAAAGAAAAGAAACUUCAAAUAACUGCACAGAGAGAAAACUAAUGCCCAAUCAUAAAGAUAAAAAAUACAGAUCAGGAAUGAGAGAUAGAAAGACAUGGAAGAGAAGCAGUUUAAAAGGCAAAUCAGUUGGGUUUUCUUAACAACUUAUCUGUAUGCAGGAUACGCCCAUUUUCACGUACAACCGGUGAUUCGGUAAGUCGCCCUCAACCAGUGAUUCGGUAAGUCGUCCUCAUAAAAUAUUCAUUUUCCAAUUUUCCAAUUUUUUGUUUUUUUUUUUUUAAAAAAAGAUUACGCAACCCAAUGAUUAAUUAAAAUUAUCAUAAUCUUGAUUCUUAAAUGCACAAAAUGGUUUCAAACAAAAUCCAAACCAUACAGUUCGCACAAAACAAAGAGACUUUCCUAGCUCGAACCUUAAAAGAUCCAAACUUUCAAUUUGAAUCUUGUCAAACAGUUAAUUUUAUCAUAUACAAAGAGCUUAAUCUACUAUUUUCUAUUCCAAAAGUGAACGAUUAAAUAGUGCAUUAAAUUUGAAAGUGUUGAAAUCAAAUUUGUAUACCUUGAUGGCAAGAGGAUUAGCAACUCCUCUCAAGAACUCAACAUGAGCACCAUCCAACAACUAACCUAAAUAGCCAACAUUUUAAUCCAUCGUCAUGUCUGACAAUCUCUUUUUAGUAUUAUUUCACAAAAAAUUCGGUUUGAAGUAAUACAGUAAAGGAGAGUAUAUCAAUAGUCAUGUAAUAAUCAUGAAAACCAAUUAAAGUCAGAACCUGCUUAUCGAAACAUUCUCUUUCGAGUGCUAACUGCAUUUAGAUUGAAUUGAACUAUCUGAAGGUGUCCCAUCAUUUCUUAUGAUAGUCCUAUCAGAACUUCAACAGCAUUUUCAGCUUCAAACAACCUCCAAAACACAUCUUCUACUGCUUCAUCCAUGCAAAACAUUUCCUGUUUUGCUGAAUGUAACUUUUGGUUCAACUCAUCUUCACCAUUUCUUGAAUCUGACAGCUUCUUUUCCAAAUCUAGAUCUCUUGCUAAAGAUUUCUCAAGCAUUCUCAGAAUAUGUCUUUGUUGUCCAGCCGUUUGCAUUUUGAUCUUGGCGUUCCUGUUAGAAAAAUGAUCAUUAUCUGAGACAUCUCCAUCUUUGCUAUCAAAUAAAAAACUUGAUAAAUGUAUCUAAAUCCUACAGUUCCCCCUUAGUAAUCAAAUCAUAACAUUUGAAGAAGAUGCAAUUGUAAAAAAAUUAAAAAUCCCAUUAGAAUUUUGUAGUGAAUAGCCAUGACUUGAUGAUAGAGAAUUGCAAUAUGAUCAAAGUGAUUAUUUGCAGAGAAAUUGUGAAAUUGUUUGAGGGUUUUGUUAACCUUUGGCGAAAAUCCAAAUUCAUAUUCAAUCAAAUUUUGAUUCUUCUUCUAAUUUCGAUUCUACAACAUAAAUGUUGUCAGAUCGCAGUUAAAAAUCAAAUUUGGAUGAAUGGGGUUUUAAGUUUUAUGAUUUCAUGAAAUAGAUGAAAUAUAUGGUUGAAAUGAAAAAUAAAAUAAAAAUACAUGAAAAGUUCGAUCUGGACUACUGCUUCAGUUGAAUAUAUGAAUCAUUUAACUUCUCAUUAAACCUUUAACUGGGAUUUUAAAUCAAUCAAAAGGAUUUCGAUCAGAUUAUGAAUUUCCCAGUGACAAUGGUCAGUAACGUCACCGAAUCUAUUGUUCAUGGGUGGCUAUUUUUACCAGGGAAAACAUCAUAAUUUCAACUAAGGUCUUGUAGCCCUAGGUAUAUUUUCAGCAGAAUUUAGAACCACUUAAAAAUCAUAACUAAUGAAUUUUUUACUUCUAGCAGAACUUCUAUUUGAAAUUAACCGAAAUACAGGAAAUUUCGAUCAUUUUACAAAAAAUUAUGGUGAGAACUUUCAUGAAGAUCUAAACAUUCAAUGAAGAUUAGAUGAUGAAAGAUUUUGAAGAAGUAACAUUCCUUCUUUUUUCUUUGUUCAAUCAAUCAAAUCGAACCGAACCAAAGCGCCAACCAAACCAAUAAAUUAUCUAUAAGUAUCUUGUCUCAAAUCAUCAUCACCCAAUAUUAAUAUUACAAUAUUCCGAGACUUUACUUGUCAAAGAUACAAAGAAACCUAUAGAUAGGCUAUAGCAUAAAGCGGAACACCAAAUUAACAUGUGUUGUUAUUUCAGCAAAACUGCAGAUUUUAGAAAUAUUGCAUGUCUUCGUUCUUCAGUUUCCUGAUCAACUACUCUCAGAAGAACUCUGCCAAAUCACUUGAAAACUUAGCCCAACCUCAUAAACGUACAUCAUUUAUUCCUAUCGCUUAGGAACUAAAAAUAAGGAGAUCAAUAAUAAAACCCUUUGAUUCUGAAUUCUUAGGUUUCUUCUGUGCUUUGGUUUUGAUUGAUUGCCUCCGCUAUUAACACACUUUUCAUUCUCAGGUAAAUUUCCUUCAUAUGCAACCUUAUAUUUCUCUGUUGUGUCCUUGUCCAAACAUUCUUCCAGUUUUGCCUAGUUAUACCAAUACCAAGUUGGUUUAUAUUGAGAAUGGUAAGUAAUAUGAUAAAUGCAAGAGUUAAACCGAAUCAGUAUAUACCAAAAUGCAUGACUUUGCAAGAGGUAACAUUAAAAUUUCACGUUAAUCGGAAUUCAAGCAGCACAAGGAUUAAUCAUUACACUCAAUUUCUCUGUUUCUUACCAUGUCCAUGAUCCAUGUUUCCAUUUUCAUUGAGCUACAGAACAAGAGAAUAGUGAGGUUAGUAUUAGAAUAACAUGCUUAUAUGGUCUUCUUUAAUAUUACUGAUAAAAAAAAACUGACAUCUCCACCUGUAAUUCUAUAUGAUUUCCAUGUCUCUCCAUUGCUUCUUUUACGCAAGUGUCUGUUUGAUCGAGGAUGCUUUGUAUUGCCAGAUCAUUGUCUUCAAAAAUCUCCAGAUCAUAAACAUCAGUUGCGACACUGGUCAAAAGUUCCUGAUGUCUGAAGCCUCUCGGACAUUCACAACUAUUUGUAUUUUAGAAAUGUUGAUAGUAGUUGAUCAGGAAACAUCAGUUGCGACACUGGUCAAAAGUUGCGACUGGGCAUCAUUCAGAACACUUCGUAUAACAUCCAACAUACAUCUAUUUGUCCUGGAAUUCUGGAAAUGCCACUUUCCCUCUCUUCGACAAGUUGUUGUUGCUGCAUCCGAAGGAUUGUUUCAAAACUUUUGUGGGCACGGUUGUUGGUAAGCUUCCUUUCCAUAAGCUCAUCAAACAAAAGACGCCAAAUAGCCUGUAUGGCCUCCCUAUAGCUCAACAAUUUGUAUUUCCCAUCACACAUGUUUAAGCUUUGAUAAUUUUUCGCAAUAAUCUGAUGAAGUUCUUUUUCCUGAGCUUUUCUUAGUUCGUCUAAAUGUGACCACAUUUUCAGUUCUUCCUCACUUGAAAGACCAGUAAACAUCCACCUCAAUAAAACAUCAGUAAUGGGUGGUUCUAUAUCAUUCAUAUCACUAUCAGGACUUAAUGUUGGUGAAGCAUCAUUAUCAGUAUAAAUUUUUGAAGUACUUUCACCACAAAAUGAAUUUUCGCCAAAAAGGAGACAUAAUGAGUCACCAUUAAGAACAAUUCUCCAUUUAUUUUCUAAUCCCAUGGGGUGAGUACAGUGAAACUUACCAAUGUUGCUUGUCUUCUGAUCAAUUAUCUUAAAAGUAUAUUGAGAUAACUCAUCCAAAAAUUUGACUAUUUCUUCAAGUUGUGAAUGUCCGCGAGCUUUAAACUAGGAAAUAGAACUCCUAAUCUCUUCUUAGUCUAUUGCUUAAUCUUUUCUACAUGAUUUGCAGAAAGAUAUCCUGCUCUCAAAACUUUAUCCAACAUCUGACGAAUUCUUUGAAGCAAAACUGACCGGUCUGAAUCAUCAGACAUAGGCCAAUGUGAUUCUCCCCUGUCAUUGCAAACUUUAUAGGUAAGAGGGCCUCGGAUGUGCUUUUCGGGAGACUUGUCAGUGUGACUGUCUAUUUUAUCGGGCAUAUGGCUCCUAGCCUCCUAGUGGUUACUGGUUAAUCCUUUACUAUUGUGUAUGGAAAACAAUUGUCCCCACUGCUCCACAAGUAUUAAUUGGAAGUGCUGCAGCGAAUCAUUGACUGCCAAUCGCUAUUAAGUCUUAAACGCAAGACAAAUAGGAAUUCCUGUGAAAAGCUUCCCAAGUGUGCUUCAUUGACAUGUUUAAAUUGCAAUUCAGAAUCAACAGAUUCAUUGAACCCAACCUAGAAAUAAUAUCUAAACUACGUCGGUUUUUUACUGAGACAUCAUCAUUCACAUUGGCAAAAUUAUCAUUGCUAAGCGGGUGCGCAGCAACCUUAGAGUAUUGGAUUGGAUCAAUAAUGGGCUACAUGGGUCUACGAUGAAUAUGCUACAUAAUUUUGACCGAGUAAUUGGGACUGUAAGACCAUUGACACAAUGACAUUCAAAUCAUAUCCUGAUAACCCUACAUGCAGUCGGUCAAUGACCUACACCUCAACAGUAUAUGGACCAACAAGUGAUUCUCUUGACACUGUUUUGACAAACUAUCAACUCCCAGAACUUAAUGUGAAUGACUGGCUAGUGUUCCCUGAGAUGGGUGCUUACUUGGCUUCUGCUGGGUCCAAGUUUAAUGGCUUUGAUACGUCAGCUAUCUGCAUUUACCCUGUCUACUCUAACCGAAGCAGUACGUGAAUCAAGCAUGAAUGGGAACAUCCAUGGUUUAGUUGGUGUCUCGAUUGAUCAACUGAAGCAGAUACAGAAUGAUGCAUUUUAACACUUGGUAGGAUAUUUUCAGAAUGAAUCCAUUAAUUUCCAACUGUCAAAGUGGCUUACCUGUUUGACUCAAGCAAAUCCAUAGUUGUCGAAGUGCCGCCAGCCUCAUACACCCUGUCAGCGAUCACUGGCAUGAAACCUGGAGGAUAGUCCAUCUCUAUCUUCACUUCAGCGCCAGCCUCUUCUAUCACCAGCCCACCCAGCACUGGAGUCAUUUCAAAUUCCACAAUGGCGAGGUCAUCAUCUACAUACAUAUACCCCGGACGAUCCCCAACAUAGUACGGCUGAUAGGGGCCGAAAAUCUCUCGCAGCUGGGUCUUAGUUGGCUUCCGUGACUUGGACCUGCAGUCAGAACACUCCCUGAGAAAUUUUUGAGCCAGCUCUAUCCACUCUACACACAGGUCUUGAUACGCCAAUCCAGUGCCUUCAGCCACCCAAGUUUUGAAGUGCCCCCAGGCCUUCCUGAUUGUCUUGUAAGGAUAGCGCGGAAAGAAGUCAUCCACCAUACCCCUUGCAAUGUAGCCAGCGUCAUCUACAAGGUCAGCAAAACUAAGGACGACCUCCUCUCCUCCUUGAACCCUUAUCACUCGAAGAUCCUCCAUGCAACUCACAACUCUCUUCCCAUGGUUUUUCCCUUGUUCGGAACAUAAAGAUCGAAGAAUGGCUGCCCUCACGCGCUCGGAUACGAAGGGGGAAGCCAUUGGAGGAUGAUAAACUAUUAGGGAGAAGAGAGAUUGGGAAGAAGAAUAGGCUGCAUCUCUCUGCCUCUGCCCAAGAUAAAAAGCCACUGCCUCGAGCAGACUAAACGGCAGUCCCUCAACUACAUGCCUUAAUUACCAUUUACAUACUGCUCUAUUGUUUUUCGAUUAUCAAGGUUCCUCUUAUGGAUCUUCCUUGGCCAUUGGGCCCAUUAGUACUUGUAUUGACUCUUCUGAUUAUAAUGAAAACACAAAAAUUCCUAAAAAAAAAAAAAUAAAAAAAAAUAGAGCCUUGUUUACAUUUAUUUUUCACAUUUCUUAAAGAUAUAUCCACGUACACAAGUCGAAAUUGAGUUCUGAUCAGUGAAGAUGGUCUCCGCUGUGCAGAGAUCAUUUCAAGAAUAUUAAAGCACAACCAAGGUGAUGAGGCUACGAAGAUAAUAUAUUUAAGAAAAUCUUAUAACAAUCAGUUCCAAAACAAGUUCAUGUUGAUUGCAGAAAAAGUAUAGGGGUAUUAGUAUUAGUAUGUGGUUUCGCGUGCGAGUGACAACAAAAGAAUAUUACAUGAAAAUGCCAGUGAAGGUUAUAACAAUAUUUGGUAUUUACCCUAUAAAGUUGUUAAAGUUGUGAGUGAAGGUUCAUGCCAAUAUAUGUUUAAGGAUCAGGAAUUAUCUUGCUUUCUUUGUAUUGACAGCAGGAUUUUGUCCUCCAUGGAUCCUCCCACUUUACCUGGACUAGCCGACUCCACAAAUGAUAUUACAGGGGAUGAGAUUUCCAGGGGUCCCUCCAACAUUGCGUACCGUCUAUUGUAAUGAGCCAUUAUGAUAAAGGGAUAAUGGAGUUCCUUUUAACAUAAGGUUGGUCUUGGAUCAGUUCAUUAUGCAUUUAUGCGGUAUACUAAAUUAUAAAAAUAGGAGAAGAAAUACAGACAUUAGUGACAAUCACUAUGAUCUAGGGUAAAAGAUCUACGAUGAUAUGGAGUUGUAAUUACAUCAUCUCAACAGAGGAUGCUCUGAGUUGGUGCCUUGGUUUUUUUAGGUAAAUGCAAUGACUUAUUCUGUUAUAGUGUACACAUUCUUAAUAUCAGGCAUAUCAUACCAUCCCUUCUCCCUGCGCUUCCCCUUCCAUUUGAAGCUGCCGUGCAUGGUUUAUGCAUUGUGGAGUUUUAAUAACUCGUAGAAAAGGGAUAAUAUCUAAAUUCGAUAGAUCUCUAUAUUCAUAGAUUAAGAUUCACCCACUUGAGUUUUUCCUAAAAGAUUUUGACAUUAGUUGAAGUAUAGUUAAGGACAGAAACUUUGAUACAGACUUACAGAUGUGACUAUCAAACAAUUUAGUGAGACGACAAAUAAGCUGAAACCACAAUAAAACAUGGAAAUUCAAACCUUACAAAUAGAAAGUACUUCAAGAAUCAAGAGAAUCUGUGCCUUCAUGAAUAUUAAAAUUGUGCCUUCAUGAUUAUUGGCCGGAUGCCACUCUGCAUGAUGAUAUUUGGAAAUGAUGCUUUCAAGACUUAAAUUCUGAGCUUUAGACAUUCCAUCUUCAGACAACAAGGACAUCGAUUAUUUAACAAAAGAAAAAUACGUGAUUACAUUCAAACUAUUUUUGGUGGCCAAGUUGUAGUAAUGGAAGCAUUAUCUUAUCCAUAAUCAUAACGCCAUUUUUCAUAUUCCACAGUAAAGCAAACUAUGCUCUCUUUCUCCAGAGUUCAGACACAUUUUUCCUUGUCCAUUCACCAGUCCAGUCUGUAGACUGUAGAUGCAUCUCUAAAACACAACAUAUAUAACUGAGAACCUGCCAAACUGUUGAGGCAUUCUUCAUUUGAUAUCUUCAAAGGUGAAGUCAAUCCCAUGUCCUUCUCAGACUUAAGGGUGCUUGCUUCUCCUUCAGUUAAACAUCGCUACCAAAUGAUGUUUCUGACAGCAGCUACUCCACUUCAUGCAUGAUGCAUCUAGAGAUCACUUGUCAACCGAGUGGUGUUGCAACGUAGGCUGCUAAAAAUUGACCGAGACAAUACCAUCCUGCACAAAACAGUACUUCUACAGAGCCGUAAUAAAAAAAAGGGCGAAUAGCCCUACUGACUCUGCCACCCCAGUCCAAGUCCGUCUGGGUAAUUUACCUUCCUUAACAGCAUACAUUUUCAGCAGUUCUUACAUAUUGUUAUGUAUAUUCCGAAGACAAGCUUACUCGUCUUUUCAGUAAUUGUAAAUCCAGCUAAGUCAUGCAGUCAUGAUAAGCAUCGAGUCAGUUGUACACUUAGUGUAUUUCCCGAAGAACUCUUCUUUACAUCUACAUUGUCAACAUGUUAUCCUUGAUAUGGCCGUUGGGUGUCUUGUGGGAGGCCCCAAGAAACCACGUAAGUCACCAUUCAGCAGCAUUUAUAACCUGGCACUCUUCAGCAACAUAUAUAUUAACAAUGUACUAAGAACCACCCUUGGCCAUUGUACGCCAGCCAUUAUGUUGGGGACUUGAUUUCUCAACACUCAGCACAAUAUAAUGAUACCCAAUAGUUCAUGACCUCAGCGUCGCUUUGAACCAGACUUAAAGUGCAUUUCCCUCAGAAUUUCAAGGGUCACCAAAGACCAACCAUCUUGAGUUUGGGCAAAAAUUUUGUUAUUCAAUGUGUUGAUGUAUACACUUAUGUUACCAAAGCCAUAUAUCUGGAGGCCAUUAUGUGUUCUACCCGGUUUAGGCUUGAAGAGCAACUCAUUCUCCUGCGCGUACAAUUCAAUGACUUCUUUCAAACUCAUAACAUGUCCAGCAUCCAUAGCAGAUGCUUGCUGCUGAGCGUAUGCGGACGCUUUCUGCUGAGCCUCGAACUGCCUUUUCUCAGUCACCCUAAGAUAACUAAUAUUUUCCCUGGCCCCAGGUUGUACGACCUCCAUACCCUCAACCGCCUGGUUCAUCAUUUGAAGACCCACAUCCAGAUGAUGCCGGAUCUGCUCAUUAGCUAGCAGUUCUUGUGGCAAAAGUCCUUUCCAACCCAAAUACCACUGCAUGACCUCUUCAAAUUUGGGGUUCGAGUUCAGCCAGUGAAACAAAGCAAGUUGCCAUUUGGGGAAAAAACUAACUGCCAACAUUGUGACCAUGUGGUGGAUUGGAAUUGCCGAUGUCCAUGACAUUACCCAAGAAAACUGAUCUAGCUUUUGAUCUGCAGGGUUCACCUGGAACUCGUGUAGAACAUUUGCUAAUUUUGGUACUAUAUGCCGAACAAGCAAAUGUUCCCAACUGGCUGGAUCGAAAACAGUCUUCCACGGAGACAAUAUAGCAUAAGCAGACCCAUCACUUGGGUGCCAAGCAUGAAGAACAUUUCCUAAUUUGAAGCGAAUGGUUUGGUACAAACUUUCCAGCUUCGGACCUAAUAGAGGUAGCCAUGGGUGCACCCACAGAUGAAUCGAGACAGUGUCCCUGCGUGGAUCCCAUAUCUCCACGGCCUGCGAUAGCUUUGGCAUCACCAUGUUGUCUAAAAUUGUCUGGAGAACUGAACUAGGCAAUAGCUCCUCCCAUAAUUCCAAAAAUUUGAGCAUUGGUUCAGGGUCCCUGGGGUUCCAUGUAUUCGUCCCACAUAUCCUCACAGCAGGAACAACAACCUCCAUUACCAAUUGGGCAUAAGGUGAGGAUGUAUCUGAAUAAUCAAAAGGAGAAUCUUCCUGUAACAAGUUCUUCCACAACGACAUAAGCUUCAACCCAUGUGAGGGAUUCUGAAGAGGAUCCCAACCUUGAAAAACUCUAAUCAGUAAAGGCAAUGCGAAAGAACAUGCAACACAAGACAGAUUGCAGACCUUGUACUCAUCAUAAUACCUCCUCUGUAAUUUAUCAAAUGCCUCAAGUAGAGAGUCUAAAGUUAAUGUCCCUACCGCGUUGUCAUGUUUUAUCCAUUCAACCACUCCAGCUAUGUCUUGCAUAUUAUCUAGCUGUUUCUUCUGCCUAUCCGCAUCUUUUUGAAGCUUCUCCUUCUCUUGCUGUAAACUGACCACAUUCUCUCUCUCGUUCCUCAAAUCCCAAUCCAAAUUCUGGAUAUCAAGCUCUACUAAAUCUACAAUCAACUUAAUAUUGUGUUGAAGCUCAGGCAUAGGGGUACCAUUAUGUUUUAACUUCUCUUCAGCAUUCAAGUCACUCAAAUUAGACAAAAUCCUUACCUGUGGUCCUCUCAUAUCAACCACCUUGACAUGGAAAUCAUUAUCCUCGGUACAAGGUAAUAACAACUCUUCAGCUGUAAUAUACUCCUUCUUCUUCUUCUUUGUGCGACACUGCUUCAACCAUAGCUUCUCUUUCAGCUGAGCCACACCAGGCAAAGAAUUAAUCUGCUCCUCCACAGCCUCUUGCAAUACAGACACUGUCUUAUAAUUAUUAUCAUAACCAAGUCCUAUAUUCUUUUUCCGCAACUUUGCCUCCACUGGAGCUACAAUACCCUGUUCAUUCUUCCCUAAUCCACCACCCCCUUUAUAUCCCAUCUUCUUUAAUAAUUUCAUACCAAACCCCUUAGUAUGCUUUUCAACUCCCCAACAUCCCCCAGCAUCCAUGUUUUUCUUUUUACAAACCAUCUUCAACAUCUCCNNNNNNNNNNNNNNNNNNNNNNNNNNNNNNNNNNNNNNNNNNNNNNNNNNNNNNNNNNNNNNNNNNNNNNNNNNNNNNNNNNNNNNNNNNNNNNNNNNNNAAAUCUUUCUUACGUUUUCUGUUAGUGUUGUUAUCAACAUCUGAAUCACUGUCAUCAGCAAAAACACCAUAAACAACAUCAUCUUUACUUUGAUGCCGUUUUUUCUUCUUCUUGUUGUUGUCGUCGUCUUUGCGUUUGUUGUAAUAGUAUUCUCCACCAAUCCAUUGCCCGUCUUCGAAAAUCUUCUCCAUAUGUUGCAUGUUUUUUUAUUCAACUCAAUCAAAAUAUUCUCCAUGCCGUAUUUAUUUAUAUAUAUUAUAGUCUUGAAGGUGUAAAAAAACCAAAUCAAAUUAAAAGUCUUAUUCCGAUACCAAAAGAAAUUCUAAAUCUUUCGUGGAUUUAGAAAUCGAAAUCCAAAAACGAUUCAAUAAACAACCUGUUUCCCAACAUGAUUUUCUUCGAACCCACGAAAGAUGGUUGAUUCUGCAUUUCUGCUGCUGAUGCUUCAAAGAGUCAUUCAAACCUUCUUAAUAAUGAAGUUUACUAUGUUUAAAAAAUGGUAGGGGUACUAUAUACUCCAACCAAUAAAAACAAGCCACGUGGCACGGUCAUUAAUCAGGUCGCUCUGUACUCGACCUACUCAGAACUCGACCAGAGCAGCUCGACUACAGGAUCAACAACGAUCUAAUUACGCGCACAUGCUCUAAUUCAACGCACAGAUAAUAUCUCCAGCUGUCAUACAUUCAUUACAACCGUUACCCAAUCAUUGGAGAAUAUUACAUCACCAUAAAUAUGUCGGAGAAUCUGCAAGAUCCCGAGAUCUUCGCCUCAUCACCUUCUAUAAAACAUAACUACGAUGGCUUGAUCUCUAGGUUCAAUCCCCACGAACUAGAGUACGUAGACAAUCUCGAUCUCAACGAGGUGCAGCCACCCCCGAUCUAAAACUCCCCCUUUGGUCAAGUCCGUUAGCGCCCUGAUCUAGUGAAUGCAUUAAUCUAGAAAUAGGUUAAUACAUUUGGCGUCGACUGAAAGAAAUUCGAUUAUAUCGAAAAACCCAAACCCUCCCACCCAACUCAAAGUCAUCUACUCAAAUGGCUACCCAAGAACUAACUAUCCAAGAUCUGCAAGACCAAAUCAAUCGUCUUCAGGAAGAAAAUGCACAAUUGAAGGCUGCACAAACUACCGCGCCAACACCAGUUGCGCAAUUAGCAAAUGGCGGACAUGGGGUCAUUGUUGUUGAAGACAACAACCAAAAAUACGAAGAACUCAGCCAACAGCUCGCAGAGUUCAAAGCCUCCCAGGCCGUCAUACAGCUCCACAAAGGCCAUACAGCCGAACAACUUGCUGUCCAGUCCCUCUAAAAAUUCCAAGAAUCUCCUUUCACCAAGGAAAUCCUUGAUCAUGAGUUGCCUAACAAACUCAACGCCCCAAAAUUCGAUCAAUAUGCAGGAGUUAGAGACCCAACAGAUCACAUCAAGGGAUUCCGUAAGUCACUACCUCUCAUUAAGGAAGAUCACCUUCUAUGUUUGUUGUUCCAGUCCAGCCUCACCGGACCCGCUCUCGACUGGUUCCACCGUUUGAAGCCAGGAUCCAUCAACUCGUUCAUGGAUCUGGAAAAGCAGUUCGUUAUCUUCUAUAUCCACAACAAAAAGCGUCCAGUCACCAUCGACGCUAUAUUCAAAGUGAAACAACGAGAUGGCAAAUCACUGAGCAAUUUCUUUGCUCGAUUCAAAUCCGAGCUACACUCCAUCCAGGAUUUUGCAAAGGAACAUGAAGCCUUCGCAACAAUAGCAUUCUCUCACGGUCUGAUCCAAGGAUCCGACCUGCACAAGUCUCUGGCCAUGAAACGGCCAACAUCUCUCGACGAGCUCUACCUUAAGGUAGAUCGUUACAUCAAGCUCGAAGAAGCCCUAAUUGGUAGGAAAAAAAAUCAUGUCAUCUCCAACAUGGAAGGUGGUUCCACUAAGCGACCUCGUUCGGACAACAAGAGGUUCAAAGCCAAGUCGUUGCCCACUGAGCAACGAGAGUACCACCGAUUCACAUGACCAGCAGGUUAUAUCUACGAGCGAAUCAGGCACAACCGUUGGUGCAAGAUUCCGAGCUUCACACAACUGGAGGACACAUCUGGUCGACCAUACUGCAAGGUCCACAAAGUUAGGUGUCAUCAGACUGAUGACUGUCGAUUAUUGAAGCGUGCCCUCCAGACGUGGGCCGAUGAAAAAAGGCUCAACAAUUGGAUCCUUGGCAGACAAGAGGAACCCAAUGGUAAACGAGCCAAGAAAAGAUCAAACACGCCUCCGCAUCCAGCAAGGCGAUCUCAAAACAAGGACAGAACGGCCUCGACAAGUCCAGUCCGCAGCAGAGGGCGUAGCGUCUCACAACGACUAGGUCCAACAGGCGACCUACGCGACCAACUCAAUAAAAAGGUCGCCAACAAGAUCGACAGUGACAGUGAAUCAGAAAGUCAUGUAGUAUACAUGAUUUAUGAAUCCAACUCCACCCCAGCAUCAAGAGAGAAGAAGAGACGAGUAGAACAUCUUCACCACGUCUACUCAAUUACUAGCCGAGCAGUUCGAUUCAACAUCCCAGCUCGCCAGGAAACAGACAUCACCUUCACCGAGGACGACCUCAACAAGGUCGUCACCCCUCACAACGACGCUCUGGUCGUUGAGUUACGAAUAGCUGAUUACAUCAUCAAGAGGGUACUCAUUGACCCUGGUGCAUCCUGCAACAUACUCAUGUACAGAACUUUCAAGGACAUGAGGCUACCUGACUCAGUCCUCAUCCCUGAUUUCACUCCCAUCUUAGGCUUCAACAGCUCCAGAGAAGAUCCUAAGGGUGAAAUAUUGUUGCCCGUCACUGUGGGACGAAAAGAAGGCAAGGUCGUUGUGACCGCAAAGUUCAACAUCCUCAACAUCACAAGUAAGUACAAUGCGAUACUUGGUCGAAAAUGGAUCCACGCCAUGAGAGGUGUUCUAUCCACAUAUCAUCAAGUGUUCCGAUAUCCCGGACCCCAUGGGAUAAUGGAACUUAGAGGCAACCAGAACGCUACACAAGAAUGUCAUGGAAUUCUUGAAGCUGCGGCGCCUGAAAAGCCAUCUACCUCAGGAACCAAGGAUGCUGACCCCAAAGGAAAGAGCACACUAGCAUCAGAAGCUCGAGAAGGUGACAAACAAUCAAAGAGCCCGUCGAAAGGAAGGGCUGAAGCAGCUAAAUAGCAAUUACAGAAGGAGCAAACGAGCUCCCCCCAGCUAUCACUCGGAAGCACUAAUCCAGGAGUACAAGAGAACUUAGGAUCAGAAGACGAUCCGAGAUAUGUUUAUGUAGGCUCAGAGUUAGAGGGAGAUAAGUACAACAACUUUGUAAACUUUCUUUUUUCUAAUAAAGAUGUUUUUGCUUGGUCAUAUAUCGAUAUGCCUGGAAUAGACCCAUCAAUUGCAUGCCAUAGACUGCGUGUCAAUCCGAAUUAUCGACCUGUUAAGCAAAAACCAAGAAGGCUCGCUCCUAAAUUUCACCAAGCGGUUAAUGACGAAAUCAACAGACUCAAACAGGUUGGGUUCAUCAAGGAAGUUGACACACCAGAUUGGUUAGCCAACAUUCUCCCAGUCUUAAAGAAGAACGGGAAAACAAGAGUUUGCAUCGACUUCACGAGCUUGAACAGAGCUUGCCCUAAAGAUUCAUUCCCACUGCCACGAAUCAAUAGGUUAGUCGAUCAGACCUGUGGUUUCGAGCUACUCUCAUUCAUGGACGCAUACUCGGGUUAUAACCAGAUCCCAAUGUACGAGCCCGACCAAGAGAAGACCUCCUUUACAACAGAGUAAGGCAUUUUUUGCUACAAAGUUAUGCCAUUCGGCUUAAGAAAUGCAGGAGCGACCUACCAACGCCUUGUCACCAGAAUGUUCGACGACCUGUUAGGUCGAACGAUGGAGGUCUACAUCGAUGACAUGCUAGUAAAGAGCAGCCAAGAGCAAGAUCAUUUGUCCAAUCUCGACCAGGCAUUCCAAAGGUUAAGACAAUACAGAAUGCGACUUAACCCAGAGAAGUGUCUGUUUGGAGUUGCAUCAGGAAAGUUUCUUAGCUACCUAGUUACAAGAAGAGGUAUUGAAGCAAAUCCCGACCAGAUCAGAGCGCUGAUCGAUAUGCCCAGCCCAAAGACAAAAAAACAGAUCCAAAAACUCAACGGCAUGGUAUUAGCUCUCAAUAGAUUCAUUUCUAGAGCGUCCGAUAAGUGUCGACCAAUGCUUCAUAUUCUCAGAAAGGGGGCUGCAUAUCAGUGGACAGACGAAUGCGAGAAAGCCUUCACUAACCUAAUGGCAUAUUUAUCCACUCCGCUGGUCCUCACAAAGCCUAAUGAUGGAGAUGUGCUCGGUGUCUACCUCGCGACCUCGGAUUUUGCGAUCAGCGCAGUACUUUUCAAAGAAGAAAAUCAGGUCGAACGACCUAUUUACUUCACAAGCAAGGUAUUCCAACAGGCCGAAAUAAGGUACACACCUCUGGAGAAAUUAUCAUUAGCCCUUCUUUACGCUGCAUGCAAAUUUCGACCUUAUUUCCAAGCCCACACUGUUAAAGUAAUCACCGACCAGCCACUACGACACGUAUUUGAAAAGAAAAACAAAACAGGUCGUAUGGCUCGAUGGGCAGCCGAGCUGGGUGAUUACACAUUCGAGUUCAUAUCUCGUCAGGCCAUCAAAAGCCAGGUCGUCGCUGAUUUCUUAGCGGACUACCCUGCAGAAGAUUUCAGUUGGGAACCAUAACCAGAAACCAGGCAAGUCCAGGUCAAUCCCCCCGACACUUGGCAACUAUACGUUGAUGGUUCCUAUAAUUCAAAUGGAAGUGGCAUAUGUGCCAUACUCAUCUCACCUGAGGGUUCACAGCUCGAACGAUCAACUCGAUUAGACUUCUCGACCUCUAACAAUGAGGCUGAGUACGAAGCUCUAAUCCAAGGCAUACAAAUGGCUAUCGAAUUUACAAGCAGUUCGCCUCAGAGUGUUCAGUGACUCACAACUGUUAGUCAAUCAGAUCACUAACAAUUACCAAAUCAACGGUGUCAAUCUGAUCAGAUAUACAAGCAGGGCAAAAGAACUAAUCAGCAAGCUUAGUUUCUUCACAAUCGAUCACAUCCCUCGAGACGAUAACAGGCAUGUUGAUUCAUUGGCAUUCUUAGCAUCCAAGAUCGAAUCAGAUCGACCUCGAGCUCUCACUAUAGCAGUACGCAACCUGCGUACCUAAUAAAAGAAGAAGUCAUCCACCAAAUCUGCGAUCUACUAGCCACAACACCGGCAGACAUCCAAAGGACUUGGAUGGAACCCUUCAUCAAUUAUCUUCAAACUGGUGCAUUACCAUCCAACAAAAAGGAAGCCAGUCAGUUAUUACAUAAACUCACUAUGUAUAAACUCCAUGAAGGUAAACUAUUCAAAAAAUCUGCAACUGGUCUAUUCUUAAGAUGCUUGAUCCCAAACCAUGGGCAAAUCAUCUUCCAAGAAAUUCAUGAAGGAGAAUGCGAAAACCACUCCGGAGGUCGAACAUUAGCUCAUAAGGCGAUCUCCCAAGGAUAUUUUUGGCCAAGAAUGAAAGAAGACGCCAAGAAGUUUGUGCUGAAAUGUAAAGAAUGCCAACGUUUUGCUGAUAAUAAACAUCAGCAUCCCAACGAUCUCAUCAACAUCACAGCACCAUGGCCAUUUCACAUGUGGGGGUUUGACAUUAUGGGUCCCUUGAUCAAAGAAAAGAAAUCUGAGAAGAGGUACGUUCUAGUUGUAAUCGACUACUUCACCAAAUGGGUGGAGGCCGUUGCCCUCACCAACAUCACUCAAGCCGAUGUCCAAAGGUUCAUAUGGGAAAACAUCAUCACACGAUUUGGUUUACCCAAAAGGAUAGUCACCGAUAAUGGUACUCAGUUCGUUGGCAAAAAUAUCAAGGCUUUCUACGCGCUAUAGAAAUUCGAUCAUUCUAGGUCGACACCUAGAUAUUCAUAGGCCAACGGUCAGGUCCAAGCUGCAAAUAGACAAAUCUUGAACAACUUAAAGAAAAAACUCAAAGAUCAAGAGGAUCAAUGGCCACAGCAGUUAGAGAACAUCCUUUGGGCCUACCGAACAACUCCUCGAACGUCGACAGGAAUGUCACCAUCCAGCCUUUAAUUGUUAUGGAGUUGAAGCUGUCAUUCCCACCGAGCUGACAUUUGGCACGACCAAAUCACUACUGGUCGACACCGAGCUCAACAAUCAGGCCUGGUCGUUUGGAAUAGAUUUAGUCGAAGAACGACGCAACCAUGCCACUAUCAAGCUCGAGCAAUAUCAACAAAGACUCAAACGAGCUUAUAACAAAGGCAUGCGACCUAGAUCUUUUCAGCCCGGUGAGCUCGUCCUACGGAAAAUGUUCCACAACAAAAGGAAAGCGAACAUUGGCAAACUCAAUGCAAAUUGGGAAGGUCCUUACAUUAUCACCAAAGCUCAAAGCAAUGGAUCUUAUCGUCUCCAAACUCCAGAAGGAGACAACGUGAAGAAUCCCUGGAAUGCUUAUCACUUGAAGAAAUUUUAUCAAUGAAGUGUAAGCACCCAUUUUUUACAUUUCAAUAUACAAACUCAUUUUUGUCUUCAUCUCAGCUCAAACAUGAACGGCUUCUAAAGGUCUAACCCCAUCCCUCGACCUACAAAUUAUCAAAAAUUCUAGUCCUUUGAUAAUUUUUUGUUAAGUACAACUUAACUCGGUACUCUGGUCAUAUCAUUCCCACGACCUACGUACAAUCGAGCUCACAUGCACACGACCUCAUCUACUAUCAGGUCCAACGGCUAUGCUUGUUAUUUAUUGUUUGCAAAACCCAUACAAGCAAACAACACAACAAGUAUAAGAAUGCAAGGUAAAUAAGUGAAAUUUCCUUGUACUUUAUGAAAAUCUAACUAUUACAGGUAAACCGAUCUACCAUAUGCGACCUAGAAGCUAUCAAAGCAAAAUUCAACUAAAGGCAUACAAGAAGAACAAUUUCAGUCCGUCCUGCUUGCAGCCAUUCAUCUCGUCUACCUGCCUUCUGAACGAGCUACCAGGACUCCCUGGAAACUAGCCGCUCAGACAGACUUAAUACAACAAAUCAAAUGAAAACUUAGGUCGUAGUCGACCUACCAAAAGCAGAUCGACCACUAUCAUUCAUUACAAACUUAGUCAAGACAGAUAAAUGUUCACUCGACCUCACUACAUCGGACUUGAAGAUUGAACGUGAGAAGAAGAAGGAGAUGUACUUUCCCAUGCAAGGAGAAGCUACCAAGGUGUAAGCUAGAUGAGCUAUUGGUGUAGUGGAGACUCGGGCUGGUCUCACCAAACACCAAGAAUCUCUGAAGACAGAGAGAGGAUCACUGCUGGGAGGUCUGAUCGUUGGGGUCACCCAACUCGUUCUGGCCACCUCCAACCACAUCAGCAGGGCCCAUCGAGGUGUCCUGAGCUGGCACUAAAGCUCCUUGAUCACCACCUCACGUCUCCUCUCCUUCGGGCGAGCCCAUCAUCUGUUUCUUCAGGUCGUCGCAGUAGGCCUUCCACUCUACACCGUUCUUAUGACAUGUGUUCUCCCAGUGGACCGCAAACUCCUUAGCAGCAGCAAGCUCAGCCCUUACCACCUCUAACAUCUCCUUCAACACCACAAUCUCCCCAUCCCUAUCCCUAACCUUUGACUCAGCAACUACAACAAUCGUCUUCGCCUGCUCGAGCUUCUCAUUCAUAUGCUUCAGCUCAAUCUCAGCUCAAGCUCCCACCUCAGCGACCAGACGAACUUCCUGGAAGCUGGCGUUGAGCUACACACACAGGCAUCGGUUAGAUAGCAGCAUACAAACAAUCGAAACAGAAACUAAAAGUUACACUCACCAAGGCCAUUGCUGAGUUUAUCUUCGAGCAAGUCACCAGCAGGGUCUGCGACUUUACCGCUCGAGCAUCAGCAUCCAGAACGAUGCCCUCAUUCACAGCUCGGGCAACGCAGGGGUCAUCUAUGGCACUAUCGUUAUCAUAAACGACAUGCUUUCCCCCUCGACCAUCCAAGUAAUCGAACGGCCCAGGUCGAAACUCAGAUGACACCCCCUUACCUUUGUGCAAAGGCCGAGCAGCAGUCUUCUUCGACAAAGGAGUGGGUUCAGGAGAUCGCACAGUUUUGAGAGGGGCAGGAGCAGGCACAACUGGUGGCUCCAUCAGCUUCAUAUUCCCCGAGAACGAUCUCUUCCUAAUCGACCCGGCAGGUAGCUUGGGUAGAGAGGUCGGUGGAGACACGAUCUGGGGGCUCGCCUCUCGCUCACCUUGUCGCGAGCUACCACUAGAUCGACCCUUCUCAGCUCUCUGCACAGAUGACAUAAAGUUCUUUUUCAACAACUUCCUCCUCUCGAGCUCUUCCGCAACUGUUUUCGGACCACCCUUGGGGAUAAAGUGCUCCUUCAAGUGCGGCAAAUACUGUGCCUUCCGAUUGUCCGCCCACAACCCAAACACGUUCAAAGCAGAUUUCAGGUCGUUCUUCUUCACCAGAUGGUCGUCCCUGAUCGCUGCAAACAAAAACUUACAGUCAGAAAUUUAGGAAAAAUGAAUAGUUCAUAUCGACCUAUGACUAACGACCAGAAACUUACGAUUAUCAUCCACAUUCCUAGUCACAUGACGCAACCGGAUAUUCCCCUCAGUGAUCGACCCAGUAAUCAGCAUGGGAUCCUUCCACCAUGGCUCACUACUCACAGGGUAGAUCAAGGGUAAGCGGUCCGGCCUGACUUGCAUGUUAUAGCCCGCAAGCCCCGGCUUCGAAGACCGUUUAAGCAUAAAUGAUCUAACACAUUUUCUACACUAAUAUUCCACCUAUGCAUCUUAUUGAGGUCGUCAAUAACCCUCAUAUUCCUCCAAAAGUUACCAUUCAUCUGGCAAGGAGCUCGCAUGAUCGCAUUAAGAAGGUCGACCACCAAGCCAGAUAGAGGUAACCUAAGCCCAGCCCGGAAUUGGGCCAAAGUGAAGACAGUCGAGAAAGGGUUGUUAGGUCGAUACUCGACAGUGAGCAAACGAUCUCCCAAAAACCUAAUCUCUAGAUGCUCAAUCGAGCUAAGACCGUACUGUUUCCUAAAGACAAUAUGCCUAUGGACGUACUUAGGGUUUACAACACGGCAGAACGACCCAUCGUCACUCUCAACCAUCUCAUCAUCAAAUGUAUCUUCACCAUGAGGACCACUACUCUCAGGGCUUUCUGGGUCUACAUCUCCUUCCCCCCGACUAGGAGAAGCAGUUUCCCACUGAGUCCUUUCCGACUCAUAUUCAGCGACAUCAUCACCACUCAAGUGAUCAUUUUGUGAAUCACUACACUCCGACAUCUCUCUCAAAUCGAAAGUACAGAAAGAAAAUGAAGAAAGUAAAAGACAAAGAUAAGUAGAAGAGACUAACCUCACGAGCUCUCAAAUUUCUUCAGGUCGCAAUGGAAAAACAACAGCAGUUCGAGAGAGAGAACAAGAAAAGUAAACUCUUUCCUCACAACGCUACAGUUUAAAUACGGCAGCAAACGCAAUCCCAGCCAUCAGUUCGAAUACAUUCAACGGCUAAGAUCGAACAUGGGAACCACGUUCCUUGCAGUUAUUUUCCACUCACCCAACGUUCCACAUCCACCGUCGGAUACAUCCACGUGUCCAGCAUCGAACCCAUCAAGCAAGAAGUGCGUCAGUUGUCAUAACUUUACGGGUAACUGCUCGAGGAAACUUCUCCACUUCCCCGUAAAGGCGCAAUGAUGAUACGAGACAAUCAUGCAUGACCGCCACGUGCACAAAUUCAAAAAGCAGACUUCAAAUCAACAUCGAUCAGAGUUCUAAGUCUUUUCAGCCUGACUCCCACCAUCGACCUAAAAAGAGAGGGCUUAUGUAGGGGUACUAUAUACUCCAACCAAUAAAAACAAGCCGUGGCACGGUCAUUAAUCUAUCACGUCGCUCUGUACUCGACCAGAGCAACUCGACUACAGGAUCAGCAACGACCUAAUUACGCGCACAUGCCCUAAUUCAACACACAGAUAAUAUCCCCAACUGUCAUACAUUCAUUACAACCAUUACCCAAUCAUUGGAGAAUAUUACAUCACCAUAAAUAUGUCGAAGAAUCUGCAAGAUCCCGAGAUCUUCGCCUCAUCACCUUCUAUAAAACAGAACUACGAUGGCUUGAUCUCUAGGUUCAAUCCCCACGAACUAGAGUACGUAGGCAAUCUCGAUCUCAACGAGGUGCAGCCACCCCCGAUCUAAAACUCCCCCUUUGGUUAAGUCCAUUAGCGACCUGAUCUAGUGAAUGCAUUAAUCUAAAAAUCUAAAAAUAGGUUAAUACAAAAAUCACUGUAAGUUACUCUGUUUAAAAAAUCACUGUAAGGUGUUUGGCUUUGUUGUUAUUACAAAGUUAUAAAGAAAGACAUCUAUAGAGGUAAAACAUAACCCCUUCAGUUUUUAUAUAUUGGUCUUCACACACUUCAGUGAACCACCAUGCAUGUAACUAUAAAAGUUGGAAUGAGACCUUCUGACCUAAUUCUUUAUUAGAAACUUCACCCGUGGAACGUAGUAGUAAUUCCAAUCCGACUGAAACUAAAACUCUCCAAACACAAUCGUUACAUAAAAACCCAACUCAACUAAAACCUUCUUUAAUUGAUUAUCAAUCAAUGGCGGGUAAAGGUGAGUGUUUGAUCGGAGAUGCUGCCAGUAAUCAAGUCACAAUGAACACUGUUUUCGGUAAGUUUGUCGUGUUGUUUUCUGAUUAUUUGGUUAUAGAAGAUAUCAUAUAAAUAUAUGCUUGCUUAGAUCCGUAGGAAUAGAGUUUAUGCAUGAUUUGAGGUUUUAAACUUUUAAUUAGGAAUAUUUAUUAUACAAACUCCACUGUCUGUAGAGGACAAGCGCGCUACAAACUCCACUGUCUGUUGGAUUUAUUAUUUUGAGAGUUGCAAUCGAACAUUUUCUUUUAAUUUUGAGUGAGAAUUUGUUGAUGUCUAGUGACAGUGAUAAUCUUUGGUGGGAUUUCAAUGUCUGUUGUUGUUUUUUAGAUUGAACCUUGGACAUAAAUAUAUCAGUUUAUAUAUGUUCCUGUGUUUUAUCAUUGUCCAUACCUAAAUUGAUCUUUUUGCUUUUGAAACUUUAUAGAAUCAAUUUUUGUGGUCUCAAUGUGUAAAAAAAGUUUAGUUAUUUGUUUUCACUUAAUGUUUACACCUUUUUUUUUUUUUUUUUGCUUCAUACAGCUAGCGAAGAAAUAGAUGAAUACAUUCCAACUAUGUGUAACUAUUCUUGGCAGAAGGCUGACCAUAGUAUAGAUAUGUGCCCCGGCUGGGAUAUGGAGCCAUUAUCCUGCCCUGGUUUGAACGCGUUACAAACACGUCCUUGCAGUUUUGAUAAAGAAAGGAAUGCAAUAAGGAAUUCAUUUUGGAUAGGCGACCUCUCCGAGAAAACCAAUUAUUUUGAUGUGCUUGAUAUAAACAACAUUUAUGGUCGUGUGUCAGGAAUAACAAUCGAAACCGACAGGAAAGAUGAUCUGCCCAAAAGAUUUGGUCGUGUGAGCUCUGUAAAUAGUGAUGAUGCAAAGAGAGGUCUCUACAGCGUCCUGGAAAAAGAUUAUAGUGUUGAUUGGUUGGAGGAUGUGAAAGUUAUGAUGUGUCGUAAGCUCAUGCUUAAAUUUGGAAACUUGUAGGUCCUUCAUAUAUUUUGUAUAAUUUUGUAUGGAUAUAUUAGCGUUCACUUUAAUCAUGCAAAUAUGGAAAGUAAAUCGUUGAUUCAGGCUGGAUUGCUGCGAUGGUACUGAACAUAUGCCUUCUCUAUGGUCUGUGUUCUCCCCACAUAUAUUGCAGGAUGGCCUAAAUUUUGUAGCAUCUCUGACAAUCAUCAAUCGGAAUGAAAAUAACCCAAUGGUGAAUUUGUUGGCAUGAAAUGAUUUCUAUGAGCAUUUGUCCUGUGAGAUCUCUCAGAGUGUUUAUCAAAGGGCUUCAAUAUUUAAGCAUGAUAUUCUCUUCCUGUACACUACAUGCAUGUUGAUCUUUACACAAAAUAUGGCAGAGAUUCAUAUGUUUGUCAUAUGGGGCGGAAAAUUGAUCAAUUUAAAUGAGAAAUAUUUAUGAGUUCAUCUUUGUUUUCUAGGUAUGGUAAAGCAUUUGUUGUUGCAAUUGCAACAAAUCCUACAUAUAUAAUUGCACUACUUAGUUCAUGACAUCGAAAAUAUCAGAGUAUCAGACAACCCUAUGUGUAAUCAUUCUUGAGGCUUGCCAGGCUCCCAGCCACCUUUGAAAUCGUCAAGUACUUAGUAUCUAACUAAUAGUCAAAGCUCGAUCUUCACAUUGACAACAAAGAACAAAAAUGAACAUAGACUAACAAGUACCAACUUAUAAUUAACAUAAGUAGUGUGAAUAGUGAUGAAACACAAAUCACUUUAUAGCUUAUAAUAGUUAGUUGCUAGUACUGAGAGUUCAUGCAUGUUUGUUCUGUUUUCUAUUGAUGAAGAUGUUUGUCCUAUUGGCUACUACUACUUUGUUUCCUACUUUCCUUGAUAGGGAAUCUCGUUCUCGCAACAAAAUUUAAUCAUGUAACAACUCCUUGCACAACAUUGAAGAUAUCAGACGAAAACAAGUGAUCCUUCACAGAAUCACAAUGCAUGUCACCUUUGAUCGAUAUUCUCAAGUACACUAUCCUCCUCAUUGCUUCUCACUAUAAAUAUAUACAUCUAGGAGCUUAGAUUAUCAUCCAUCCAAUGCAACUCCAAGUUAGGAAAAGCUUUCACUACUUUGAAGUAGUUAUCUUCUUGCAGCCAUUUGAUCGAUCGCUUAACUGCAUGGUAUUCCUUAAAAUUUAAAUUAAGAGAAGGUCUAUUCGACGAUCUCUUUCAAACAAGAAGAGACCACAAGUACAAAAUGUUCCAAAAGGCUCAUAUUGGAUUUCAUGGAGAGAUUCAGUAGGUCUAACUGUUCAGUGCUGAAUUGUGCAUUGCAUUUAAUUACUACCUCAAACUCAUCAAUAGUUGGGAUGUGUAGGCAUAUCCAAGGAGUCCAUAUUAAUGGCCAUCUAUGGUGGACAUGCAAUUGAUCAAGAUGUUACAUGUUCAGAGAUUAAGCUUGGUCUUUGUAAAGAAGCAACCAUUCCUUUUUAAAAAGAGCGAGAACUGGAAACUGAACGCUGCCUUUUGGGAUCCUUCCUGAUUUUAUUGAAUACCCUUUAGUUGAGUAGCUGCAGCUGCUGUAGCAGAACCACACAAACCUCGUCAUGCUUGGAGCUGUAGCUAAGCAAAUUAAUGUUGUACGUGCCAUAUAAGAAUUCUGCGUGUUUUGGUUAUAUAAAUCAGCUGCUAAAGUACUAAACCUGGACCUGGUAGUUGGUCAUGCUAGCUGAAAGAACUUCUAUCACAUCCUCAUUGGAUGGCCAAUGAUCACUGUGAGUAUGAUGUAGUACAAGUGUACAACUACAAUAACUUAAUAUAUGAACCAACCCAAUGAGGUUGUAAAACGGAAAGUUUGAGUUCUAAAAGAGCAACUGUUCUACAUAAAUUGCAACAGAAUUUAUGUAUAUAUACAUAGAGCUAGAUGAGAGGGUUUGUAAUACUGCCUUGAUACCGGACAUGCCUCAUGAAGUUUCACAUGGUUAUGCCUAGCAACUGAUUGGCAACAUUAAUCAAGUGGUCAAUUUGUACCUCUUAUUGCCAAGCCCUAUGGCCUAUCAUUUGUUGUGACAGCUUUUAACAUGCCCACCUGCAGUUUUGUGAUGAACAAUUGUGUGUUUAGGAUAACCUAUUCUUCAUGUUUUUCUUGAGGGUAUGGAUAUAAAUGGAGUGAGUGCCAACUCUUGUGUACUGCCUUCUUCUUGGUAGGACAUGUUGUUAAUUGUUUCAAUAAAACAAUAAAUCAAUGUGACUACCCUAUACAGAAAUUCAAGAUAGCAGACAAAACCAUGUUAUCCUUCACAAGGGUAUGUCUUUUAACUUAGCUCAUGACACUUUCUUGAUCGCCAUUUCCACUCUAUAUAUAUACACAUGUAUUAGCUUAGAGUAUUCAUUCAACUCCUAGUAUUUACAUCAUCUCUUGGGCAGCUAUACAAAAUCUUCACCUCCUUUUUGCUAGUGUUUUAGCAUCCAUGGCAAUUCGAUUACCUGGUAUUCCACAUAUUAAGAGAAGUCUCCGUUCGAAUAAAGAAACCUCAAUUGUUCCAAGAGGACACAUAGCAAUUUAUGUUGGAGAAUGUGAAAAGAAGCGGUUUGUGGUUCCAUUAUCAUACUUGAACCAUCCUUCAUUUCAAGAUUUACUACAACAAUCAGAGGAAGAGUUUGGAUUUAGUCAUCCGAUGGGGGGUCUCACGAUUCCCUGUGACGAACACACCUUCCUAGAUCUACUAGUCGGGUUGUUGCCUUGUAAAUCAGAUGACGAGAGAGUACUGCAGCAAUAUCUUUCCAUGGACUGCUCCGCGAUUGAACUUCACAAAAUUUUCCCCUUUUUUCAGUUAAGACACUGAGUUGUCAACCAUGUACAUACAUUUUUUUGUAACAGGGGAAUUAAGAUUCAGAAAUAGAAGUGUCUUACAUUCUUACUUUAAUAACAUUAUCAAUACAAAUCAUUCUUUCAUAUCAUGUGUUAUAUGUUUUACUUUUAGAACCUGAUAAGAUCACCCUUCAUGUUAGUAAGGGUGAUCUUUUCGCUGUUUAUUAUUUAAUCAGAAAUUCCUUAAACAUCUUUGUGUUAA
RNAcentral lists this long non-coding RNA (64151 nucleotides) under Aquilegia coerulea. RNAcentral describes it as "long non-coding RNA (ACOE_LNC001175)". Lineage: Eukaryota; Viridiplantae; Streptophyta; Magnoliopsida; Ranunculales; Ranunculaceae. The record is from RNAcentral.